AUAAACAAGGAUCCGCCCUUCCUAUUUUUCUUCAGCUUCUUUCUUACAUACCUGUGUUUCAACACUCGGAUUAUCUCUCCGGCAACGUCUUCCUGGUGGUGGAAGUGGUGAACACUGAAGGCUAAGUAACAAGUUAGCAAAAUGGGACCUGGAGGGCCGGGAGGAGGGCCGGGAGGACCUGGUGGACCGGGAGGAUGGGGAGGAGGACCUGGUGGUUGGGGUCCUGGCCCCGGAGGACCUGGCGGAUUUGGGCCUGGAGGUCCUGGUUGGGGUCCGGGACCUGGAGGUCCCUGGGGCCCUGGAUUUGGAGGUCCUGGUUUUUGGCCUGGUGGGUUCUUUGGCGGCUUUGCAGAUGGUUUGUGCAAUAUGAUAUCUUCCUGGUAAGCAAUCAAAUCUUUACUCAAUUCCGGUAUAGUUAAAUGCGGUUUGAUUGAGGUUAAAUUUGAUUGGGAUUGCAGCUUCUACUGUCUUUGCUGUUGUUGGCUACUACAAGACUGCUUUGGUCGACGCCCUGGCUAUGGUCCUCCCCCUUUCUAAUCAUCUGCUGGCUGCUGUUGCUAUACAUGUGUUUUCUGUAGUGCCUUGUAAUAAAUUUAAUAAUCUAGUUUUAAGCUUUUUUUCGUUGCUCUUGCUUCCGCCACUAUUUUCAUCUAUUACCAUCCAAACUUUUAUCAAAAGUAAUAAAUGUGACUGAUUUCCAUUAGGGAAGUUCAUUUUCUUUUUCUAGAAAACCUUUACAUCCACCUCAGCAUGCCCAAAUGACACAGUCCAAUUCUUUGUUCAAAAGCAAAAACAAAUAAAUCCACAAAAUGUUUUCCCUUACUCUGAUGUUCAUAACUCAAAAAGGUAUUUGAAUGUUCUUUUGGACAAGUUGUGCAAAAUCUAUUGUUGCCUUCAUAUGACCCAGUCUAAUGCUCUAUUUGACACGGCCAAAAUAUUUACAGAACUUGAAAUGUAAAUAUCAAUAAUUUGCCAACAACAACUUCAGAUUAACAUUUGAGAGGCACAGUUUGAGAAAUGAGGAAGUGCACAUCUAAAAUGGACAAGAGUCUCCUACAAGGGAGCUCCCUUAACAAAUUCGAGAAACCAUUCAACAGUUUUUAGUUCAUCUUUUUUUCCGCUCAACAAUCAAAGAGACAAUCAUGUUAACAAAGCGCACAACCAACAUAACGGCCAUGUCUCGCUCUUAAUACAAACGGUUAUAUGUACAGCAAAGAACUAAAAUAAAAGUUAAAUCCUAACUUCUCAUAUGGAAACAGAAAAGCACUAAAGUACCAAGCAACUUUGUAGCAGAACAUGCCAAAUCCAUACCUGCAAACCAACUACAUUGCAUCUCGCACAACCUGCAUUUCAAAACCAAGAGCUUUAACCACUUACAAUCCACAAGUAGAUGCAGAAUUAAGAUAAAUCUGCUGAUUGAAGGUGCUUAUUGGCAAGUCAAUUGUACUGCUGGCCAAGUUAUACGGCAGAUUCUUUUUCUUUUUUGGUAAAAUUACACAAUAGAUUCUAUAAGUACAGUAUCAUAUCUAAUAUCUAGAUUCUUAAGACAUAAACUAGAAUUCUAGGCCAAAAAUGGCGUAAACAAACAAAUUAAUGAACAGACUACAGCAAAGUAAAAAUUUGCUAUAAUGAAAGAUGGCAAACCUUGCUUGAUUAUUUGUCACAAUCCAGAAAACAAAGAGGGCAUUGACAAAAAAUAUUGCCUCUAUUGAGAUUCAAAAUUGUCAAAAGUCCAAAUGUUAGGUUAAACACAUACCUGUUUGCAUAUCACUCACAAGCGAUCUUAGUAUCGAAGCUACUAAGGCAUAUAGCAAAUGCCUGAAAAGCUGAGAUUGGAUACUGAUAAUCCAUAGUGAAUACAUCCUUCCCCACUUUACCGAAUUGGAGAAUGACAUUCUCAUGCUCCUGACCAGCAGCUGCAUUUUCAGGAGAUGCAACCAGCUGAAAAUUUUUGACUGAUGCUACUGUUACCCGUCCAUUGAAGUUCAGACACCAGCACUGGAGUUGUUCAUGCCACCUCGGUGACUUGUUCCUCAAUACUAGCAUUCCAUCUUUCUGGUCAGACAAAGGUCCAGAUUGGAAACUCUCUGCACGGGUUGAUUUUGAUCUAAAGAACAGCAGUGAUGGGAAGGUAUCCAGAUUACUGUGUAGGAAUUCAGUCUGUGUGGGAGCAACACCUCCAGGUUCAAUAGAAGAGGCUGGGAUGGCAUCCAUGACGCAGUGCAUUCUCCUUGGACCUCUACGGUGCAGAAUAUGUUAAUUUCAGUAAGCAUACAAAAACAAGGAGCUAAACAAUGACCAACCCCUGAUACAAGGACAGGGAUAGAAAGAGCAACUUUCAAGAUACACCUUACCUAGAACCCAGGACAUUCAACUCAUAAGAGAUGUGGGCUACAGGAUAGUUGCCAGCUGGGACACGAGGAGAAACUUGUUUCAUAUUAAUUAGCCUGGUGGAGCAACUUUUAGUAACUUUUGCUCCAGCAUUUGGAGGUUGUGCAUCAUAGACUGUGAAUUUGGUCCCCAAAAAGUUGGAUCUGUUAAAACAAAUCAAGGUAAGUUUAGAUUUCUGAAAUGACUAAUGUAUGAUGCAUCAGUAAAAUCAUAAACCAGCUGACAAUACCUCAACUUUCCAAUGUAGGUACUGCUUCCUUUUGACACAUCAUUGCAAUUUAAUGAGAUGAUAUAAUCUGUGCAGGUAGGACGGCGGCACUUCCUUGCAGCAAGAAGGAACUUUCCAUCAUCGUUGGAAGCUGCCAAGUCAAUACCCAAAGCAAAACAGUUUCAUAUAUACAACUAAGAGAAGAUACCAAAAGAGAAACAAGGCACUCACCAACCACCACAUCAUUGUAAAGGCAAUAACUUUCUAUGAAUCUAAUUACAUAACAUAUCCUUAAUAUUUUUAACUCAAUUAAAAAAAUAUAAGAAAAAUCCUACGUCAGAAUACAAAAGCACCAAGCAGUACAAAUGACCAUUCAUAAGAGUAAAGCUCACAACAUCAGCCCCUUUCUCCAACACCCUAGAUGAAACACAAAUAAAUUAAAGCAGCUCACCUUGAUUCAAGCCAAGGUAAAGAUAAUAUGUUUGGUUGCUACGGUUACGUUUUAUGUAACAUUGAAGGAGGGAGUCCCUUGGACCAGGCUGCAGAAACAAAAAACAAGGACUGUGAACAUGUAUCUUAACUUUUCACUUAUCGUGGAUGAUUAAUGAGCGAUAGAAGCUGUUCCAAGUACAAACAGAGUGCUUAUAGUAUAUUCUAUAUUAACUUAGACAGGUACCUUUCAAUAAAAUUAUACUGAGAAACAAGUCUCAAGUUUGCAAUUCAUCUGAGGAGAAUAUCUAAUUUAGGAUUCAAAAUUUAUGAUUUGAUAACCUAAGAAAAAAGAACCUGUUGUCAUGCAGCACGAUAACAAAACAGUACCUGACAUAUUUCUAAUUUUUAGAUUUUAAACUUCCUCAGAAGACAAUCCUAGAAUGCGAAACACAUCUCAGCUCAAACAAAUCAGCAGAGAGAAUAUAUUGCCCUCAUUUUACUCAACUAUAAGCAGCAUCAAACCAGUAAAGAGAGUACAACUGGACCAAGGGAUGCCACAAAUUUUGUAAAUGUAUCCCACCAGUAAAGAAACAAGAAGAACAAGAAUGUGCAUCCCUCCAAGUGAAGUCAUCACCUACUGCUGCUUUUUAAGUAAAUUUAGAUGCUGCACAGGAAAGGACACUUUGGUAGCAGGAUUGGGAGCUAUGUUAUGAGAUGCAUAUGGUCAUAUCAUAGGUGCUACGGCUAAGUAAACAAAUCCUACUUUUAAUGUAUUUGUGUUGGAAGUUCAUGCUAUAAGCGGAUGGAUAGUUUUUCCUCAAGAUAUAGCCAUUUAUAAUGUAAUCGUCGAAACUGAUUACAAGUUUAAAUGGAGCUUAAGGGGGGAGGUGCUAGAUUAUCUACAACAGGGGACUUAGAACUAUCUCUUUGACCUGUAACCUUAAUUCAAUAUCCUGGUCAUUUCUUGAGAAGGAUUGGAACAAUGUAGUACAUUCUUUAGCCACACAUGCUUUAUCCUUAUGCGGUGAAUUUGUAUGAGUCGAGAAUGGUCCACCAUUGCUGAUACCUUAUCUUGACUUGGAUGCUAUUUCAGUUGACUAAUGAAAUGUCUUUGUCAAAAAGAAGAUAAAAGAUUCAAGGCCAGAGUAUAAGAGAAUCACUUUAAGACCAAAUACAACACCGAAUGAAAGAAAUUCAAUCAAAUAAAAAGGAAUAGGCAAACAUCUAUUACCUGUUUCAAUGAGAUUGGGAAUGUCAACUUGCAAGAAAUUUCUGGGGUUUUCACAAUUUCCUUCAUAAUCUCUCUCCAAUUCCUACAUACACCAGCACAAACAACCACAUUCUUUCGUGGAGGCCAAGUACUCUCUGAUGCCUCUAUUCUCAUCAACACAUCCCUCAAAAGCUCAGGCGGCAUGUUUGCCCAACAACUCUGCUUGAACACAUCAACUGGAACUGAGCUGUCCUGAACUACCCUAUGUGACCUCGAUCUCAUGCCAUACCCAAACUUCACGUCAAACCCUUUUCUCGAUAUACUCCCAAACUCUCCCUUCAUGUCCUGGAUAAUGCUCUUAAACGACAUCGAUGCCUCCUAAUCCUCUAAAACCCAAUGAUAACUUAACAACGGACUUCACCUCUACAAUUUGUAGUAACUAAGGAAUGUACCUAAAAACAUUCAAUUCCGAAUCACUACAACUUACAACCUAACAUCCUCCAGCUCACAAACACAGAAAGUAUAACCGAAUAAACACUAACGAUUCGAAUUUCGCAGUUAAAACUCUCAAAAUUCAUACAGAAAUAAGCUAUGAGCACUAAACAACACGAUCCAGAACCAGAAGCCAGAUAAGAUCGAAAAGUCACAGAAGUGGCUCCACAGCCCCUAAUCACAAUUUCUCCUCCAAAACAAUGCAGAUUGCCAUAACCGAUAUCUACGAAAAUAACACAAGGACACAACACUGAGCACCAAAACUUACCCUUCAGCCAAUAAAUCUAGCAAUAGCUGAAAACAGAAAGGCGGCAGUGAAAAAGAUCAACAAAAUUCAAACGAACACCAGCAGAUCUCUCCUCUUAUCCUAACCAACCAAGAGCCAUAAAACUAACAGAUAAUAAGAAAGGAGACAAUUGUGAAUUCAUCAAACCUUUAGAGAGAGAGAGAGAGAGAGAUCAAAGCAGAAGGAAGAACAUCCGGAUCAACAAGAACCGGGUAUUCGGAUCAUGGGUGGAACCGAUGAAAUCUAAGGUGGUCGGCCUUGGGCAGAGUGAAAGAGGGAUGCAGGUGCGGGAAAGGGAAAAGGUUAGGGCUUUGUUGGCUUUAUGGUGUUGUUUUUAGUUGGGUUUGGUGCGGUUUCUUUUUGUGUGGUGAUGUGUGAAGGACCUUAGAGACGAGACCAGAAUUUCACUGUGAGUGUGAAUGCCUGCCCCCCAGAGUGGGUCCCUCUACUCCUUAUCCUAUCCUGUCACUGCCCCCUUUUGUCUCACUCUCACCCAUAUGCGCUCGGAUUCGGGUUCCAAAAAUAUGAGCCACGGGUUAAUAUAUUCGCCGAAUUCACUCAUUGGUACACUAAAAUAGUGUGGUCUGCUUUAUUCUCCCAAGGACGAGCAUAUAAGUUCCAACCUGGAGAAACGGGUUUUUUAGAGGUUUUUACUUCAAAUGCUAUAGUAGCUUUGAAAUAUCUUAGGCUUACACUAUAAAAAUCUUGCCUUUAAAAUUUUAUUGAUCUUCCAGAAAUCAAAAUUUAUGAUUAGUGCAAAUGGUUUUGUCCCUAUAUAUCCAGAUCCAUCAAAUGCAAAUAAGUUGGAAAAAAUGUGAAAUACAGCUUACUAGGUUAACAUGAUUCUUCUAUUUCCAAUCAAAUUGAGCCAUGAUAUUUCUCUUCUUCUUUUUCCUUCUCAAUAAAAAUGGAUUUUAUGAUGUUUAUCCUGGAAGGUCCUAAGGCUUUCCGUCUUUGACACAUGUCCAAUGCUAUCUCUUUCUCUCCCUUUUUUUCAUUAUAAACACAAAUGGGUAAAUUUCAAUUUUGUUCCCUUUUAUUUUAUUAAUUACUUAAAAAUGGUCAAAUUUCAAUUUCACUUGAAUUUAAGAUUUAAUCUUUCAUAGGCUCAAUGCUAUCUCUUUCUCUCCCUCUUUUUUCAUUAUAAACAUAAAUGGUUAAAUUUUAAUUUUGGUCCUUAUAUAAUGCUCGAAUUUAAGAUUUAAUCUUCAUACUUUAUUUUUUUACAUAAUUCCUUACCUCAAUGUUUAUAAUUCCAUUAGUUAUUUAUAUAGAAAGAAGGUCCUAAGCAAUUUUGUCAUCACACAUGUCUUUUUCCUCUCUUUUUACCCUAUAAGAUAAUAGUAAAAUUUUAGUAUUGAUCCCUCUACUUUGCUAAAGUUUAGGGAUUUAGUCUAUAUUUUAAUUUGACAUAAUUUGAUCAUCUCUUUAUCAAUGACAUUAGUUGAUCUAAAUACUUAAUACCGCUUAAAAUGUUGUCAUGAAUUUUCUGAAGAACACCUUUCUAACACAUACCCAAAAAAUCUACUUCGGUAUAAUAAAUGAAAUAAUCAACUAUCUUGACUAACUAAAAAUAGAAGAACCAAAUUAUGUCAAAUUAAAGUAUAAAUAUUAAAUUCUAAAAUUUAAACAUAGUAUAAGAACCAUAAUUAUAAUUUUUCAUUUAAUUUAAUAAAAAAAUUAACUUUUAUAAAAAUAUUUCUAAUUAAAAUAAAGAUAACUACAAUCAUAAUUAUUUUAAUAUUAAUAAGCCUUUAAUAAAUAAGCAUAGGUAUAAUUAAAAAUUUGAAUCCCGGGAAAAACAUUCUACUCAAUUUUAUAAUGAAGUAUAAGAAUUUUAUCAAAUAUUUAAAAAAGUUUCAAAAUGAAACAAAAGAGAAAAAAUGCAACGAUGUUGAAUUAAUUAUUACGCUUUUAGAGUAUUUAUUAUUACAAAUUAAGUUGAAUUACAAGUGUCAAACAAAAAUUUAUACAAAUCAAAACAUUUUAUUUUUAUGUUAAAUAAUACACACAAAUAAAAGGAUUUAGUAUUAAUAUUUUUAGUAUGAUGGUUCCUCGUACAAUUAAGUUUGAGGGUUCAUAACUAGCCGUUUACUUCUUUAAAAAAUAUUCACUUGCUACCAACAAUAAAUACCUUAAUUUUUUUAAAAAAAAUUUAUGUAAGAAGAAAAUUUGUUGGUGGGGUAGCCCAGCUAUAUGCAUUGUGUGCAUAUUUGUCUUUAGAGUUUAGACACUCAUCUAAACAUUUUGAUAUUCAUAAGCCUAUGUAUCUGCUCCACAUUAUGUCCACUGUUCUUUAUCUGUUUUUCAAGCCCCUUUAGAAUUUGAUUUCAUCAAAUCAAAUCAAUUUUCAUUUUUAACCAGAAAUCAAAUGUUGAGUUUUCCGUUUACAAAAUUCGAAUAUAAAAGAUGGAGCAGAUCCAGCUCAUUUGUACCUUAGGAUAUAUUCACAACACCCCAAAAUUAAAAUAACCUUUUUUUUUCUGUCUUUUUUAUUCUUUAAAUUUAUGUUGCUUGUCAAAUUAUUCUCAAAAUGGACGAAAAAAUAAUUUUUUUUGCAAUCUACAAAGUUAUUUUAGCCCUUCAUUUAAUUUUGUCUUUUUUAAUUCUUAAACUUUUAUUAUUUAUCAAAUCAUUUCAAAAUAGAUGAAAACUAUAACAACCUUAAUUUUAACAAUGAAAAAUUCGAUUUUUGGGUUGAAUUUAUUAAAUCGAAUUAGUCAAAAAUUAGAACCAAAUAAUUAAAAAUCAAGUAUGAAAUUUUGGAAAUUAAAAAUAAUUAUUAAUUAUGGUACGUAAAAGUACCAUUGUUAUUAAUUUUUAAAUUAAUAAAUGCACGAGAGCUUAUUUAACAAUUAAUUAAGGGACUACAAUUAUAUGAGUUAGUGGGAAAGAAUGAUCCAAACCAUUCAUUCCCACUAUGGUUAUUAAAUAAAGAUCAUGACCAUUCAUUUAACUAAUUAAAUAAGAUUAAUUCCUUCAUUAAGUCUAAUUAAGCCACUAAUCUAAGUAUAAAUGGCUAGUGGAAAGAGAAAACAUAUUCAUCUUUCUCCCUUAGAGUUUGUUGUCCCUAGUUAGAAGAAAGAAAAAGAAAUUUCUUUAGUUUAUUUACUCAUUCGCGUUCCAAAUUCUUCAAGGCAAGGAAGGAUUUUUUUUUUUUGAUAAUUUUUAAAGAAUUAUGAUCAUCUAAGUUUAGUACUAUAACUUACCCAUAUUUAGAUUUUUCAGUUGCUACAUAUUUAUUAAUUUGCCAUUAAGGACUUUGUUAGAUUCAAAGCUUGAAAGUGAUGGGUAGUUAAAUGAUAAGCUUAGGUUAUAUUAAAAUUUUGUUGGAAGAUAGUGAAAUUAGCUUGGAUUUACAAGUUAAGUUAUAUAGUUAACUUUUGACAUUAAGAACUUAAUUGAAUAAAGGAACCUCAUUGAAAAAUUGAAGUUUGUUAGGAAAUUAUGUAACUGUUGAAAGGUAGAGGCCCCUAAUGAAGAAAUAUGCAACUGGUUUUCGAUUCGAUAAAGAAAACCAAAAGUUGCGAGCGUUUCAAACAUUAGGCUUAUAGGGACUAAAAUGAAUAAAAUGCAUUCAUGUCUAUAAUGUUAUGAUUUGUGUUUAAAUUGUGUGAUUAAUGAAUUUUCUGUAUUUGGGUUGAAUUUUGUAGCUAAAGACAAUGUAGGACCAUCCCAAUAUAAAGGGAAAUCCAAAGCUAUCCGUGGAUAUAUACCCUGGUUUGUGCUCUUAUGAUUCAAGUUCAUUAAAUAGCCAUAUGUAUAUGUUUGACUCGUUAAAAGUUCGAAAAUGGUAAAUUGUCGAUGUAAUUGUAUUUAAAAGGUAUGUGUAUACCCGACUAUGUUAUUUGCGAUCAUUUGGUAAAUUAAUUAUAUAUUUAUAUGCUUGUUUGAUGAUAUACAAUUUUUAAUAAUGAAAUUGCCCUAUUAAUAUUGUAAGAUAAAGUCACGGGUAUAGUUGAUAUGUCAUAAGGUCUAUUUUGUUAGGUGGAAGAUUCAGUGCUAUGCGCGUAUAUAUAUUGCAAUAAUUCUCGAGUUCCCUAAAGGUCGAAAAUGUAUCGUAAGCUUAAUUUUCUGAGGGUAUGAGCGUAUUAUGGUAUGGUUAGCGGGAUCGAUGUAUUUCUGCAUGAUCAAUAUUUCGAUGUGAAUAUUGGUGUGGUGGUGGAUUGAUCCGAAUAUUAGUUAUUGUAUCUGAUUUUGUUAAUAAAGAAUAAAAUGUAAAAUUGCUUGAUGAGUAUGUGUGUAAUUGAAUUGAGGUAAUAAUAUUAAUAUGAUAUAUGAUUUUGAUAUGGGAAAACAAAUGCAAAUUUCGUAAGAGUACAUUGGAGUUAUGUUAUUUGAAAGCAAGCAUAAUGUUGAUGAAAAUAUGAAUAUACGAUGAAUGGAUAUAGACAUGGUAUAAAUUUGAUAAUUGUAAAGGUGUAUAAAUAUUAAUAUUGAUAAUAUUUGAAUUGGAUAAUAAUUAACUUGUUUAAUUUUUCUAAGUAGUUAGUUUACUAAAUUUUAUUAUGAUUUUAAUUGAAUUUGAAUUAUGUUAGCAUUACUGAGUUUCCAUUACUUAGUGUAUAGUUACUUUUGUUUUCGUGAGCAGGUCUCGGACGAAAGUUAGAGUAGAUUCAAGGUCAUCAAGCCUCUAACUCAAAAACUCAACUCGAAAAACAACUAGUUGUCUAUUUUGUAUGUAUAUGUGUGUUUUAAGUUAAAUGACAUAUACUUAGGUUGGUUGUGGUUGGUGUUGAAGUAAUGUUAUGAUAAAAUUAGUUUUUAAUUUUUUGAAGGUUGAAUUUCAUCUUUUAAUUGUUAGUAGGUCAAGUCUUGAUAAAUCGGAUGUUAUGAUUUAAUAUUGUUUGGUUGCGUUUACUUGUGUUGAAUUGAUGGAUUUGCAUUGGUGCUAUGUUUGGGUAUGUUUUCGGUACAUUUUAGUAUGGUUUGGCUACUUAAAAACAUGUAUUAUAUGUCUUUUUGUCAUUUAGUUUCGAGAUAGGAAGAACAUGUCUCGAGACCAACAAGCAAGUUGGUUUUGGGACAAUCUCGACAAGUUCUCGAGACAAGGGCACGUCAAAGUUAAAUAAGUUUUCCCCUGUUCCAAGUCUUGAGACAAUAACCCCUAUUAGACAAAACACGUUAGCGAACAAAAUAAAUUAAAUAUAAAUAAACACAUAUAAAAUAAAGAUAGAAUAAUUUAUAUUUAAUUUAUCAAAUACGAAAGAAAAAUCAAAAUUAAAAUCAAAUAAGAGUUUAAAUCAGAAUGAGGAAUAUGGAUUUUACGAAACGUUGAGGCCUGUGUAAUACAGUUUUCUUAAGAUAGAUUCGACCGCUCCUACAGUACUUGGAGUAAUGUUGGUCGAAUGUCUCCCAAGAUACAACAACAACAUGGAUCACAGUAGUAGCACCUCUACAAUGAUCAAUGAACACAUAAUGCCUUUUUCUAUACCGGAAUGUUUGAAAAUACGAAGAGGAAAAUGAAGAGUUUUGAGAGCAACAGAGUUUCGGUAAAAGAAAAAUAUCAUAGAGUACUUUCUUGUGUAAAACCCUUCAGAAAUCAUGGCCUUUUAUAUGCAUGGAGAAUGUUGGGAUUUUGGGAAAAAUAUCCACAAAAUCUGCCAUUAAAUUAAUUUGAUUAAAUUUUUUAAUCAAAUUUAUUGGAAUCAAAUCAAUAAGAUAAGUAUCCUUAUAUGUGUAACACCCCUAACUCGUAUUCGACGCCGGAACAGGGUUACGGAGCAUUACCGAACUUAUAACUCAAACUGUAACAGCUCGAUUUUGACCCUAAUCAGACAAAGUGAUUUCAGGACCACAAAUCCGAGUCAAAAAAUAUUUUAAAAUUAUUUUUAGUAUUUACAGUAUGUGAAUUUCAGUGUGUGAAAAUUUCGUAUGAAAAUUUGAUCGUUUGAGUACAUUUAGCAACAAAACAGUUUAGACAACAACAGUUGUGUGACUUUGAAAAAUCACCAAAAAUGGUCGAAAUUAAAUUAAAGAUUGAAUAAUAUAUGAAACUGAAGCUGAAUGAGUCUUUUUUUACAUAAAAGAAAUAAAACAAGCAAAAGAGUUAUGUAUUUUGAGAUAUUUGAAGUUUAGUUAGAUAGAGUCAGAAUGAGUUUGGAAUCCCCUAUUCUGAAUUUGGAAAAUUGUACAAAAAUAAUUAUGGGAUAAAGUUUAUAUGUUUAGAAUCCUCAGUGAAUCUAUUUUCAAGAUAAACAAAUUAAAACAAUAUUCGAAAUCUGUACAAUGAGAUGAUUAAUUUUUAGUGAAGAGAGAGCAGAACUAUCGAGCAGUGAAAUAGGGGAACUUUAAAGAAUAAAAUUUACUAUUUGGCUAAACCAAAAAUUCUGAAAAUUUUAUGGUAAGAAGAUAUGUGAAUCUAGUUUUAGGAAAAAUUAACAGAUCUUAAUUUGGAGCUCUGUAGCUCGAGAUAUAAAUAAAUUAGUGACUUUGACUCAGAUAGACAGCUUGAAUUUACAUACAGGAAAAUAGUGAUAGUAUGGAAAAUGUUGUUUAAAUGUGUUAUACACAUUAAGGAUGUGGAAUGGAGAGGAGGAGGAGGAAAAUUGGAAAAAUAUAUGAAUGAUUUGUGUAUAAUUGGUCAUAUGCUUGAUUAUAAUUGAUAAACGAUGAAAUAGAAAUGAUGCUUAUAUUUGUGCAUUAUUGGUCAUGGUUUAAGCUCAUGUGUGAAAAUAAAGUUACAUAGUAUGUAUGUGGUAUAUUCGGUAUAUGAUUUGACAUGAAGUAAUGGCAUGAAUGGUUUAUAAAUUAACACAUGUUGAUAAACGUGAUACAUGAAUAAAUGUUGUGCUCAUCCAUGCUUAUAAUGCUUAUGCUAUAUGUGUAUUUGGCCAACAUAUUUGGUGUAUAUGCUUAGGCUUUGGCCAAGUAGUGGUUGGAUUAUGCCACGUUAAAUUUAUAAGUUAUGCAUUGAAAUGGUAAGUGCCUAAUUGGAAAUAUGCUUGUGAUCAUAAAAAAAAGUGGUAAGGUUUAAAUUAUGUAAUCUCUAGUGAAAUGGUUUAUCAUGUCGUUAGUUCCAAAAAGAGUUAUGUUUAAAUACACUAGCUUGUGAUUAUGGUCGAAUGAUAUGUUUAUAUCUUGUGUGAUAUGCAUAGGAAACGAGUGUAAAAAGGUAAUAAAAUAUUAAGUUUAUAUGGUUGAAAUUUAAUGAUUACAUGUUAAUUUCAUGAAUUAUAUAUUGUAUGAUGAGAUAUAUUUGUUGAUGAAUUGAGAAUAAAAUAACAAUACGAAAAUCGAAUAAAUGAUCAAAUUGAGCAAAACAUCAGAUUUGAGUAUUUUUGAUCAGUGACAAGUGAUAAGUGGUAGUUUAGCUACACUUAUCUGAUCAGUGAUAAGUGACAAGUGAUAAGUGAUAGCUUUAGCUACACUUAUCUGAUCAGUGAUAAGUGGUAGUUUUAGCUGCACUUAUCUGAUCAGUGAUAAGUGACAAGUGAUAAAUGGUACCUUAGCUACACUUAUCUGAUCGGUGACAAGUGAUAAGUGGUAGCUUUAGCUGCACUUAUCUGAUCAGUGAAAGUGACAAGUGAUAAAUGUGAUCCAUGUAAGACCAUGGCAGGGCUAUGACUUCGGAAAGUGCUAAGUGAUCCUACGCAAGACCAUAGUUAUACUAUGGCAAAGUGGAAAUGAAGUACUCAAUUUUCCGUAACCGUUCCCUACUUUAAUUAAGGAUGGUAAAUGACAAAUGGGCCCAAAAGAAUUAUAGUAAAUGGAUAAGUGGUAGUGAAUUUAUAUUAGGAUGAUGAGUUGAAUUGAUGUUGUUAUUUAAGCUAAAUUGAUAUUUUCAUUGCAAAAUUGAGAAUUUCAUAAAUGUGUAAAUGAAUGGUACAAUCGAUAAACGUUGAGUUAAAUGGUAAAUACGUAUUAAAAUUGAACUUAAUGAUUUGAAUUGUGAACAUGAGAAAUUUGUAAAUUGAAUGAAAUGGAAAUGAAGCAUUGACUUAUUAAGACUUGUAAACUGAAUGAAUAUGUAUCGGGUCUUGUAGGUCCUAUUUAUUAUGAAUAUAAUAUUUUGAGGAUAUAUUAUGAAGAAUUUUAAAAGCAUGUUAAUAAUUUGAAAGUUUUAAAUUAGAUGAAGUUUUAUAACUCGGUUAAAUACAUUUACAAGUGAAUGUGUUCUAGUAAUGCCUCGUACCCUAUUCCGGUGUUGAAUACGGGUAAGGGGUGUUACAAUACAUGUAUAUGUAUUGUAUUUUUGUAGAACUAUAAUUUAAAGUAUAUCUAUUUAAUAUAUUUAAAGUAUGGAUGAUUUAUAUAUAUAUAUGCAUUUCUAAUGUUCGAACAUAUAAGUUUAUACUUAUAUAAAAUUUUGCAAGCGGUUAAAGUAUGAAUGGUAUAUAAGUAUAUAUAUUUAUAAAUGUUCUUGAUCAUGAUUGAAGUAUGAGAGUUUUAUAUGUAUAUACAAGAUUCAAGUUCAUGUAUGUAUAUUCAUGUAUAAAUUAUUGAUUUAAUCAAAAGUUUGGAUAACAUAAAUAUAUACGAAAGGGUUGAAUGAAUUUGUAAGUAUAUACAUGGUAAACUUUUGGUAUUUGAUUUAUAAUAUGUAUGUUUUAAAAAUAUAUAAUAAAUUCGAUUAAGCAUGUAAAUAUACAUGCGUAUGCUUUUUGUAUUGAAUUUAGAUAUGUCAUUAUUUAAAUGUGUGAGGUUUGAUUAUGCAUUAUACAUGUAUCAAUUCUUGUUAUGAAUUUAAGUAUGAAUUUACAUAAGUACAUGAUAAAUUCGAAUAUGUAUAUAUAUACGUACAGGUAUAAUUUCUUGUAUUGAAAUCAGGUAUGGAAUUAUAUAUUGAUAUAUAUGGUCGAAUGUAUAUAUAUAUGUUUAAGAUUUGCAUUGAAUCAAAAGUAUGAAAUUGUUAGCUUAGAUUAUUUUAAUAUGUUCGAAUGUGAAAUGUAUAUUAUUUAAGUAUAAAAGAAGUUAAAUAUUAUGAUGGUAGUAGUUGAAUCUAUAGUAUAAAGAUAUAUAUAUAUAAAUGUAUUCGGUUGAAUCAUUGAAUUAUCAAGUUUAGAAUUGGUGAUUGAACUUUAUAUAACCAUGUGUAUCAAUGAUAUAAGUUAUGAAAUUUAAGCUAAAUCUUUAUGCAUGGACUUUGUAUACAAAUAUAGUUUGAAAAUGAAUUAUAUCUGAUGUGAAUUGCGUAUUCAGGCCCAACGCCUAGUAGGUAUAUUGCCAGUGAAUCAAUUCAGGCUUAAAGCCUAGUAGGCUAAGUGCCGGUGAACUGAAUCAGGCUAUAAGCCUAGCAGGCUAAGUGCCGGUGAUCUGAAUCAGGCUUUAAGCCUAGCAGGCUAAGUGCCGGUGAAUCUGUCUUAUUUAAGUGAUUAUAUACAUUGGGUAUAUAUGUAUAUGAUUAGGUUAUUUGUAUUGGAUAAAUAUAUGAACAUCUGUUUCUAUGUUUUUGAUGAGCAUAUAAAAGCUCGAAUCUUUGUGUUUGGUGAGUAUAUAUAUAUUGGUUAUCAUAAAAUUGUUGGAUAUAUAUAUGUAUGCAUUCGACAUAUGUGAAUUAUAAGUAUAUAUAUAUGUGCAUUCGGCACAUGUGGUUGAUAAGUAUAAUUAUUUGCUUUUGGCAUAUGUAUUUGAAUAAUAUAUAUAUGCAUUCGAAGAAGUGCAAGUGAUAAGUACACUAGUAAUCAAAAUAUGAAAUUAAUGAGAAUGUUAAUAACUCGGUUAUAUGCAUAUAAUGUAUAUACAUAUGUUCGUUUAUAUGUAUUAGUUAAAUAUAAAUUCUUUUAGAUAUCAACAAAAUGACUUAAGAUAUUAGUGUUUGAACAAUAAUUAUAUUGGAUAUUUGUGAUCUUAACAAUUUUACUUAAGGAAUUAUAUGAUUCUUAGUUAUCCUAUAGACUUACUAAGCUAUAAAAGCUUACUUUGUUUUCGUCUCUUUGUUUUAUAGACUUAAAGAGCAAGUUUCAGGCUCAGGGAUCGUCAGCAAGAUCAUCACUCUAUCUACAGUCUCGGCAUUAAAUGUUUUAAAUUUUUAACUUAUGGCAUGUAUAGACUGGAUAAUAUUUUGAAAGUCGUACUUGAUGUACAGUAUAUGUAAUUAAUAGCCAUACAAAUAUGGCUUAUUUUCUUAUAGUUUAACUAGAUUCAAAUCUUAUGUUCUGUUUAAAAUGAUCAAAGUAGAAUUUAUAUAUUAUACUUAUUUUAAUGUUAGACUUUGCUUAUUAUAUUUAAUAAUAAUUUUUUGAAAAUUAUUAAACUAUAUCGGAUGUCUGUUUUGAGUUAUGUUUGAUUAGUAAUGCCUCUUAACCCCAAAUUCAGCGACGGAUACGGGGUAGGGGUAUUACAAAAACAAUCAUACAUUUCAUAUUCAAUUAUCAUUCAAAUCAAAUUUCAUUCAAAAUCAUUCAUAUAGUCCCUAAUAUGAGCCCUCUAGGCCCAAAAUAGACCUUAAAAUGGUUCGGGACUAAACCGAAUACUUAAGAAAUUUUUAGAAAAACAUUGAAAAUUUUCAAAGUGCAGGAGACACAAGCCCGUGUGGCCAGGCCGUGUGGGCAUUUGAAAUAGGGACACACGGCCGUGUCCCAGCCCGUGUUCGACCCCGUGUAACUGUAACACUCCUAACCCAUAUCCGUCACCGGAACAGGGUUAAAAAGUAUUACCAGAGUUUACAGAUCAAAUAUAAUUAAAUCGUAUCAUUUACUAUUCAUAUCCAAAAUUAAACAUUUUCUAUCAUAUUGUCCCUUAAAUGGACUCUCGAAGCCCAAUUUAUGAGUUAGAAACAAGUCGGGACUAAAUCGAGAACUCAUAGAAUUUUUCACAAAAUUUAAAAAUUUUUCAUAGAUGCAGGGGAUACACACCCGUGUGGGUAGGCCGUGUGCCUCACAUGGCCAAGUGACAUGCCUGUGUCCUAGGCCGUGUGGGCAUUUGAUGUGAGGCACGCGACUGUGUUCCAGCCCGUUUCCUUACUCGUGUAACUCUUUAACUUGUGUCACACGGCCAGCCACACGCCCUUGUGCUAGGUCGUGUAGUAAAUUUAAUUUUCAAACAUUAGGUGCAGGGGACACACAGCCAAACCACACGUCAGUGCACAUGGCUGUGUGUCACACACGGCUGAGACACACGCCCGUAUCUCUGCCUGUAUGGAAAAAAUAAGGUCAUUUCUAAACCUUAUUUCUCACCCAACUUGUCUUCCACCUACAUUAAAAUUUCAACAUAUUCACCAACCAAUUCAAGACAUAUAAAUCAAGCUAAUAAUUAAGUUUUAUGCAUGACAUGUUUGUUCAUACCUUCAAGUAUUUAUCUUACCUUUUUAAUCAUAUACUUACCCAAACAUGAUUAUACCUAAAAUACUAAUCCAAACAUACUCACAUACCAAACAUAAUAUAACCUCAUGCAUAAAUACAUUAAACAUACUAUCCCUAGCCAUUCCAAUGGCUAAAUACAACCAAAACAUUUACAUACCCACAUUUGUCAACAUUAACCUAUACGUGCCAUUAUACCAAAAUGAGCUGGAGGAUAGUGUGAUGAUGCUCCGGCUGAACUCAAACCUUUAUGAGCUUACGAGAACUAUAAAACAAAUAAAAGAAAACCAAGUAAGCAUCUAAUGCUUAGUAAGUUCGUAUAACAAGAAUUUAACUUACCAAUCAUGUUCAUUUUAAGUAAGCAUAUAAAUAACAUACAUCCCAAGCAAAUUGGCUAAAUGCGUAAUCACUUACCCUCAAUCAAGCAAGUUAGUUAUGAAUUUCUAAGUACUUUUCAAGUAAUAAAGACGAGCUCAUCAUAUAAAUGUUCCAUGCAUUUCCCGUUGAACUUAUGAAAUAUCGAUGAACAUCGGGUAGUACACAUGAAAUGUACUAAUUCAUAAUCUGUCAAUUCAUAUUCUGGAGUGUUCAUGAGAGCACUUAAGUAGGAAGCACUCACUCGAGCCAUAUAACGGGAAGCUCAUAUGAGCUAUGUAACAGGAAGCUUAUUCGGGCUAUAUCAGGAAGCUCAUAAGAGCCAUAAUCAGGAAGUUCACAAAGAACAUUUAAUCGGGAAGCUCAUAAAGAGCCUCUCGGGUAGCUCACUAAGAGCCAUGUAACGGGAGCUCCGGAUAGCCAUAUAUCAGGAAGUUCAAGCGAGCUAUAUCAGGACGCUCACAAAGAGUUACGUUUGUGUCCAUAACAUAUACAUGAUCACAAUCGAUCACAAACAAGACGUUCACAAAGAGCUGCGGUAGUCCACAACACAUGCAGAAUUACUAUCGAUCAGGAUGCUCGCAGAACUAUAUAACGGGAAGCUCAAGAGGGCUAAUAACAGGAUGCUCAUAAGAGCUAUGGUGUGUCUGCAACAUAUGCAGGACUACAACCAAUUCGGGAAAUCCAGUAUCCAUCGAAUUCCAUUAUUCAUACGGGACUUAUCACGUAUCGGGCAUUGUGGAAUCAAUAAUUGUCUUCAAUAACAUAAGAUAUUCAUAAUUCAUAUAUACAACAUUCAAAUCAAACAUGUAGACAUACAUAAUUUAGUUACACGAACUUACCUCGUCACUUGUUCGUAUACGGAAAUCUACUAAUCUAACACUUUUUCUUUCCGUCGAUCUAGCUUCGUAUUUGAGUUAUCCGGAUCUAUACGAGUAAAUUUAACUCAAUUUAAUACAAUUCAUAUUCAAUUCAACCAAAUUCACAUUUUAGACAAAAAUACCAUUUUACCCCUAUAGUUUUGUUAAAUUUCAAAUUCGUCCCUAAGCUCGGAAAAUAAAAUUAUGCAAAUUUAAUCCUUAUUCCAAGCUUAACCAAAAUUUUCAUAUAACAUUUACAGCCCAUGUGUUUCACAAAAAUAAAAAAUUUUCUAUGAAUUUUACAUCUUUACAAUUUAAUCCUUAAAUCAUAAUUUCAUAAAAAUUUACUUUACAGAAGUUGUUUAUCUAUCAACAAUAUUUCAUUUUCUACCAUAAAUUUCAAAAUUUCAGCAUAUUCAUCCAUGGCAAAACUUUGAUACUUUGAUAACUUUGCAAAUUGAUCCCCAAAAUAGCUAGAUUAGGUUAUUCCGAUCUUGGAAAUAUAAAAAUUACUAAAAGUGGGACAAGAUUACUUACCCAAUUAAGCCAAAAUAGCUUGCUUGAAUAUUUUUCUCUUAGUUAGGGUUUUCAUGUAUUUUUAAUUUGGGAAAGAUGAUGAAAUAAGAUGAUAUUAGUUUAUUUCAUCUUUACUUAAUUUAAUUUCCAAUUUAGUCCCCUUCUUUUCUUGAAUUUCCAUGGAUAAGUCACCAUAAAUAUCUACUAACUUCUCUUAAUGGUCUAAUUAUCAUAUAAGGACAUCAAAUUUUGAAUUCUAUAACUAUUAAAUCCUUCUAGUUAUUAGAAUUCAACUUUUUCACUUUAUGUAAUUUGGUCAUUUCCUCCUAAUUAAACAUAAAAUUGGUAAAAUUUUCUUAUCAAAAUUUUUAUACGUCUUUCCUAUCAUAAUACAGAUCAUAUAAUAAUAUUAAAAUAAAUUUUCUUUCUAAUUCAGAUUUGUGGUCCCGAAACCACUAUUCUGAUUUCACUGACAAUGGGCUCUUACAACUCUCCCCCCUUAAAGAAUUUUCGUCCUCGAAAAUCUUACCAGUAAAGAGGUUUGGGUAUUGCUUUUUCAUUAUUUCCUCCGGUUCCCAGGUAGCUUCUUCUACCCCGUGGCAUUGUCAAAGAACUUUUACUAAAGCUACCUUUUUAUUUCUUAAUUCUUUCGACUCUCGUGCUAGAAUGUUUAGCGGUUCUUCACUGUAAGUCAUGUCAGAUUGAAUAUCUACUUUUGUUAGAGAAAUAACAUGUGAAGGAUCUGAUCAGAACCGUCACAACAUAGACACGUGGAAAACAUUAUGAAUUCUGUCAAACUUUGACGGUAAUGCUAAUCGGUAUGCAACAGGUCCGAUUCUUUCAAUAAUUUUAUAUGGCCCGAUGAACCGUGGACUCAGUUUUCCUUAACGACCAAAUUGAAGAACUUUCUUCCAAGGUGAUACUUUUAAGAAUACCUUACCACCGACCUGAAUUCUAUUUCUUUUCGUUUAAGAUCAGCAUAAGACUUUUGAUAAUCAGAGGCUGCUUUCAAAUUAUCCUGAAUUACUUUCACUUUUUCUUCAGUCUCACGGGUUAAAUCAACUCUGUGUAUCUUUUUCUCACUGAGCUCUGUCCAAUAUAACGAAGUUCUACAUUUACGACCAUACAAAGCCUCGUGCGGUGCCAUUUUAAUACUUGAAUGAUAGCUAUUAUUAUAUGCAAAUUCAACUAAAGGCAGAUACUUUUCCCAGUUUCCUUCGAAUUCCAAAAUACAACACCGAAGCAUAUCUUCUAAAAUCUGUAUAACAUGUUCAGAUUGUUCAUCAGUCUUAGGAUGGAAUGCGGUACAAAAAUGUAGCUGUGUACCUAAUGCUUCUUGCAACUUGCUCCAGAAUCGAGAUGUAAACCAGGGAUCUCUAUCAGAAAUAAUAGAGACUGGUACCCCAUGUAGUCUAACAAUCUCAGAAACAUAUAACUCAGCCAAUCUGUCUAAGGAGAAAUCCAUACGUGCCUGUAUAAAGUGUGCAGAUUUCAUCAAUCUAUCAACGAUUACCCAAAUGGUAUUUUUUUUUCAGAGAUAAGGAUAAUCCUGAUACAAAAUCUCUGGUAACUCUUUUCCAUUUCCAUUCCGGUAUCAUAACUGGUUGUAAUAAUCCUGAAGGCACCUAGUGUUCAGCUUUAACUUGCUGACAUAUCAAACACUUAGACACAAAUUCAAAAAUGUCACGCUUCAUUCCUGGCACCAAUACAUCUUUUUCAAAUCAUUAUACAUUUUAUUACUCAUUGGAUGAACAGACAUGGUACCAUUGUGAGGUUCAUUCAAAAUCUUCUGUACGAGUUUUGAAUUCUUCGGUACACAUAUUCUGCCUCUGAAUAACAAACAAUCAUCAGACCCAAUCUAAAACACUGAAUCAGCAUUUAACUCACAUUGAACCCGUUUAGCUUGUAGUUCAUCAUCAUUUUUCUAAACUUCACAAAUCUACUACAGAUAUGUCGAUUUGACUUUUAACUCAGCUAAGAUUGAACCAUUAUCUGACAAUGAUAAUCGGGUAUUCAUCACUCGUAAAGCAAACAAAGAUUUUCUACUUAGAGUAUCAGCAGCCACAUUGGCUUUUCCCGGAUGAUAAUCAAUAACCAGAUCAUAAUCUUUUAAUAACUCAAGCCACUUGCGCUGUCUCAAAUUUAACUCUUUUUGUGACAUCAGGUAUUUCAAACUUUUAUGAUCGGUAAAUAUAUGGCAUUUUUCACCAAACAAAUAAUGUCACCAAAUUUUCAAUACAAACACAAUAGUUGCCAACUCUAAAUCAUGUAUCAGGUAAUUCUUUUCAUGUGGUUUUAACUGUCUAGAAGCAUAGGCUAUUACUUUACCUUCUUGCAUAAAAAACAAUCUAAACCAUUCAAUGACACGUCACCGUAAAUUACGAAUUCUUUACCCGAUUCAGGCUGAACUAGUACGGGUGCUUCAGUCAACAAGGUUUUCAGUCUGUUAAAACUCUGCUGACAUUUAUCAGACCACUCAAAUUUCACAUCUUUCUACAAUAAAAGAUUCAUCGGAAAGGCUAUUGUCAAGAAACCUUUUACAAACCUCCGAUAAUAUCCAAUUAUUCUUAAAAAACUUCUAACUUUAGUCACAUUUUUCAGUAGUUUCCAGUUAACAAUUCCUGAAAUUUUAUUCGGGUCCACUCUAAUGCCUUCAGCAGAUACUAUAUGCCCAGGAUAUCAUCAAUAAAUACCACAACAAAUCUAUCCAGAUAUAGUCUGAAAAUUCUAUUCAUCAGAUCCAUAAAUACUGCAGGUGCAUUUUUCAAACUGAACGGUAUCACCAGAAACUCAUAGUGCCCGUACCUGGUUCUGAAAGUUGUCUUUGGUACAUCUAAUUCUUUUACCUAUAACUGAUAGUAACCAGAACGAAGAUCAAUCAUUGAAAAUGCAGUGGCACCUUUUAACUGGUCAAACAAGUCAUCAAUAUGAGGCAGUGGAUACUUAUUAUUGAUUGUAACUUUGCUAAGCUGCCUAUAAUCAAUAUAUAACCUCAACGAUCCAUCUUUCUUUUUAACAAAUAAAACCGGUGCACCCCAAGGUGAUGAGCUAGGUCGAGCAAAACCUUUGUCAAUCAAUUCUUGCAACUGUACUUUCAACUCUUUUAAUUCUGUAGGGCACAUUCUGUACGGAGCUAUAGAUAUCGGUGUUGUUCCUAGAACAAGGUCUAUAGAAAAUUCAACCUUUCUGUCUGGUGGUAAACUAGGUAAUUCUUCUGGAAACAUAUCAAAAAAUUCACUAACAAUCGACACUGACUUAAUCUUCGAUUCAGAUACUUUAGUGUCUAACACAUAUGAAAUAUAAGCGUUAUACCCUUUUCUGAUAUAUUUAUGUGCUAAUAUAGCUGAGAUCACAUUAGAUAACCCGUCUAAUUUAUCAGAUUUAACACGGAGCAAUUUACCAUUCUGACAUUUUAACACAAUGUAUUUCUAUUUACAAUUUACCACUGCAUCAUGCUGAGUUAACCAGUCCAUACCCAGAGUUACAUUAAAUUCAUUAAAUGGUAGUAACAUCAAAUCAACUAAGAAACAAUAACCCCGUACCAUUAACAAACAAUUUUUAUAAACUUUAUCUACCAUCACAUACUGGCCUAGAGGGUUCGAAACUUUAAUCACAAAUUUAGUGGACUCGAUAUGUAAAUUUUUAACAGACACUAAAUUCAAACAUAUGUAUGAAUGUGUUGAACCAGGAUCAAUUGAAGUAGUAAUAUUAGUAUCAAGAAGAGAAAAUGUACCAGAAAUGACGUCUAGUGCAGAGGUAUCCUCUCUUGCACGAAUAGCAUAUGUCCUUGCCGGCGCUCGUGCUUCAGGUUUGACAAUUGAAUCUUUUCUUGUACCUCGAUUACCACUCAUAUUAUCGGGGUUUCGAGGUGGUCUACCUCUCGAGACGGGUUACCUAGUCUUGAAGUCUUAACAAUAUCUUUUUCAAACCUUUCUGGGCAGUCUUUAAGAUAGUGAUCAAGAGAACCACAUCUAAAACAUGCUCCACUUCUCAUGUGGCACUCACUGAAAUGAAAUUUAUUACAAUAUUUACAUUUUGGUUUGGGGUUCCAACACUUUCAGCACUUGCUACUGAUGGGCCAGAGAUCUCGGAUUAGAGCAUUGAAUACUUCGAUCUUUACCAAAAUUCCCCGUAGAUGUAAUAGAACGAUCAUGAUAUUUCUUUGAUUUCUUUAAAACCAACGAUUGUGACUUUCCCAUGAAUAUUUUACUCGAAGUUUGGGUUUCCAUCUCUGCCAGCCUCUUUUUUUAUUUAAUUCUUCAGCUUUAUGUGCUCGGUCAGCCAGUACAACGAAUUCUUUUAAUUCUAAAAUCCCAACCAAUAACUUGAUAUCUUCAUUCAAUCCCUUUUCAAAAUGUUUACACAUAGCAACUUCGGUCGGGAUACAUUUCUAGCAUAUUUACUUAAUCGAACAAAUUCUCGUUCAUACUUAAACACAGUCAUAUUCCCCUGUUUAAGCUCUAAAAAUUCCCUUUUUCUGAUCAAGGAAUCUCUGACUAAUGUACUUUUUUGUAAAUUCUGUUUGGAAAAAUUCCCAUGUAACAUUUUCCCUCGGCACAACAGAAAUCAAGGUAUUCCAUUACUGGUAGGUUGAGUCUUUUAGCAGAGAAACAACAUAAUUCAAAAAUUCAGCUGGGGUGCAAGAUAAUUCAUCUAGAACCCUGAUGGUAUUUUCUAGCCAAAAUUCAGUCUUUUCCGGAUCAUCCUCAGCGGUGGCCCUAAAUCUUUCUGCCCCAUAUUUACAAAUUUUAUCUACCGGAGGUUUACCAGUUCUAACAGACUCUGUACCUUGUCGCAUAUCAGUUUCCGGUUGAGGAAAAUGAGGGGGAGGUUGUUGUACAGCGAGAUUUGUCCUUAAAUAUUCAGUAAACCAUUCAUUCAUCAUUUGAAAGAAGGAUUCUUUAGCCUCCUCACCUCGACCCUCAGAUACAGGCCAUCUACUACUUGAUGCAGCUUUUUGAACUGAAGCUUGAGCAUAGCUUUUAGCUUCCUCGGAUUCAGCUCGGUUGGACGACAUUACUACAUAAAAAACAUAUUUAAAAUGGUCAGGAGAUAUCACACUAUCACAAAUUAUAUAAUGGCAUGUAUAGCUAAACUCGUACUUACUACAUUAGUCCGAGAAUUGGCUAAACCGUAGCUCUGAUACUAAUAAAUGUAACACCCUUAACCCAUAUCCGUCACCAGAACAGGGUUACGGAGUAUUACCAGAGUUUACAAAUCAAAUAUAAUUAAAUCAUAUCAUUUACUAUUCAUAUCCAAAAUCAAACAUUUUCUAUCAUAUUGUCUCUUAAAUAGACCAUCAAUGCCCAAUUUAUGAAUUAGAAACAAGCCAGACUAAAUCGAGAACUCAUAGAAUUUUUUACAAAAUUUCAAAAAUUUUCCUAGAUAUAGGGGACACACACCCGUGUGAGUAGGCCAUGUGGCUAAGACGGCCAACUGACAUUCUCGUGUCCUAGGCCAUGUGGGCAUUCGAUGUGAGGCACACGGCCGUGUCCCAACCCAUGUCCUUACUCAUGUAAUUCUCUGACUUGUGUCACAUGGCCAGCCAUACGCCCGUGUGCUAGGCCGUGUAGAAAAUUUAAUUUUUAAAAAUUAGGUGCAGGGGACACACGGCUAAACCACACACCCGUGCGCAUGGUCGUGUGUCACACACGGCUGAGACACACGCCCUUGUCUCUCCCCGUGUGGACAAAAUAAGGUCAUUUUUAAACCUUAUUUCUCACCCAACUUUUUUCCACCUACAUUAAAAUUUUAACAUAUUCACCAACCAAUUUAAGGCAUAUAAAUCAAGCAAUAAUUAAGUUUUAUGCAUCACAUGUUUGUUCAUACUUUCAAGUAUUUAUCUUACCUUUUUAAUCAUAUACUUACCCAAACAUGAUUAUACCUAAAAUACUAAUCCAAGCAUACUCACAUACCAAACAUAAUAUAGCCUCAUGCAUAUAUACAUUAAACAUACUAUCACUAGCCAUUCCAAUGGCUAAAUACAACCAAAACAUUUACAUACCUACAUUUGUCAACAUUAACCUAUACAUGUCAUUAUACCAAAAUAAGUUUUCUAUUUAUACCAAAAAGAGCUGAAGGAUAGUGUGAUGAUGCUCCGACCGAACUCCAACCUUUAUGAGCUUUCGAGCAAUAUAAAACAGAGAAAAGAAAACCAAGCAUCUAAUGCUUAGUAAGUUCGUAUAACAGGAAUUUAACUUACCAAUCAUGUUCAUUUUAAGGAAGCAUAUAAAUAACAUACAUCCCAAGCAAAUUGGCCAAAUGCCUAAUCACAUACACUCAAUCAAGCAAGUUAGUUAUGAAUUUCUAAGUACUUUUCAAGUAAUAAAGAUGAGCUCAUCAUAUAAAUGCUCCAUGUAUUUCCCGUUGAGCUUUAUGAAAUAUCGAUGGACAUUGGAUAGUACACAUGAAAUGUACUAAUUUAUAAUCUGUCAAUUCAUAUUCUAGAGUGUUCAUGAGAACACUUAAACAUGAAGCACUUUCUCGAGCCAUAUAACGGGAAGUUCAUGUGAGCUAUGUAACAGGAAGCUUAUUCGGGCUAUAUUAGAAAGCUCAUAAGAGCCAUAAUCAGGAAGUUCACAAAGAACAUUUAAUCGGGAAGCUGACGAAGAGCCUAUCGAGAAGCUUACUAAAAGUCAUGUAACGGGAGCUCCAGAUAGCCAUAUAUCAGAAAGUUCAAACGAGCUAUAUCAGGACGCUCACAAAUAGCUGUUUUUGUGUCCGUAACAUAUACAAGAUCACAACUGAUCACAAACAGGACGCUCACAAAGAGCUGUGGUAGUCUACAGCACAUGCAGAAUUACUACCGAUCAGGAUGCUCGUAGAACUAUAUAACGGGAAGCUCGAGAAGGCUAAUAACAGGAUGCUUGUAAGAGCUAUGGUGUGUCCACAACAUAUGCAGGACUACAACCAAUUCGGGAAAUCCAGUAUCCAUCGAAUUUCAUUAUUCAUACGGGACUUAUCACACAUCGGGCUUUGUGGAAUCAAUAAUUGUCUUCAAUAACAUAACAAAUUCAUAAUUUAUAUAUACAACAUUCAAAUCAAACAUGUAAACAUACAUAAUUUAGUUACAUGAACUUACCUCGUCACUUGUUCGUAUACGAAAAUCUACUAAUUCGAUAUUUUUUCUUUUCCUCGAUCUAACUUCGUAUUUGAGUUAUCCAGAUCUAUACGAGUAAAUUUAAAUCAAUUUAAUACAAUUCAUAUUCAAUUCAACCAAAUUCGCAUUUUAGACAAAAGUACCAUUUUACCCCUUUACUUUUGUUAAAUUCUAAUUUCGUCCUUAGGCUCGAAAAAUAAAAUUCAUGCAAAUUUAAUUCUUAUUCCAAGCCUAACCGAAAUUUUCAUAUAGCAUUUACAACCCAUGUAUUUCGCAAAAAUUAAAAAUUUUCUAUGAAUUUUACAUCUUUACAGUUUAAUCCCUAAAUCAUAAUUUCAUCAAAAUUCACUUUACAAAAGUUGUUUAUCUAUCAACAAUCUUUCAUUUUCUACCAUAAAUUUCAAAAUUUCAGCAUAUUCAUCCAUGGAAAAACUUUGAUAAUUUGAUAACUUUACAAAUUGAUCCCCAAAAUAGCUAGAUUAGGUUAUUCCGAUAUCAAAAAUAUAAAAAUUACUAAAAACGGGACAAGAUUACUUACCCAAUUAAGCCAAAAUAGCUUGCUUGAAUAUUUUUCUCUUAGCUAGGGUUUUCAUGUAUUUUUAAUUUGGGGAAGAUGAUGGAAUAAGAUGAUAUUAGUUUAUUUCAUCUUUAAUUAAUUCAAUCUCAAAUUUAGUCAUUUUAUUUUCUUGAAUUUCCAUGGAUGAGUCACCAUAGCUAUUAAAUCCUUCUAGCUAUUAGAAUUCAACUUUUUCACUUUAUGCAAUUUGGUCAUUUCCUCCUAAUUAAACAUAAAAUCAGUAAAAUUUUCUUAUCAAUAUUUUCAUACGUCUUUCCUAUCAUAAUGCAGAUCAUGCAAUAAUAUUAAAAUAAAUUUUCUUUCUAACUCGGAUUUGUGAUCCCGAAACCACUAUUUUGAUUUCAUUAAAAAUGGGCUAUUAUAGUAACUCUCUAACUUGGGUCACACGGCCAACUCACAUGCCCGUGUGUCAGGCCGUGUACCCUUCGAAAUGGCCUCACACGCCCGUGUGCCAGGCCGUGUGUCACACACAGUUGAGACACACAUCCAUGACUCUGCCCGUGUGGACAAAAAUAGGCUAUUUCCAAGCCACAUUUCUCACCCAAAUUUGUACCAACCUAAACACAACAAUUUGCAUAUGACUAUGACAUAAAUAAGCAUUCAAAAACAACCAAAAUCAUGCUUAAAAAAUGUAAUAUCAUUACAUAUAACCAAUAUGAUCUUAGGCACCUCAAAUGGCCAUUUAUAACACGUGAAUCUAAGCAUUCAAUUUAUCCAAUUGUUUGACUAACUUAAAUACAUAGCUGUAUCAAAACUUACCAUAUAGUUCAUAAAUCAAAACAUAACAUUUAAUAUUAUUUAAGUACUUGAUCUCUAGCAUCAAUUUGUUAUAUAAGUCACUUUUAACUUGUACACCAAAAACACAAAUACAAAACAGUCAACAUCUAUCAUCAUUUCACAUAUGUGCUUUCCAUAACAAGCACUAAAUCAUUCUAUAUUAUAAUACAUAUUAACCUUACCAAACCACACUUCAAAUAUGAUAAGGCCAUUUAUACAUACAUAACAAGAUAUACCAAAAUACAAGCCAAUUCAAAUGGGUAAAACAUAACAAAACAUGUAGGCUAUCAUUAGCCAAAAUAACCUAUACAUGCCAUUAUAACCAAAAUUAUAAAACCAUAAGUACCAAAAUAGCCGAUAGAUAGUAUGAUGAAAUCUCUAAAAACUUCCAACUCGAACGAGCUUCCGAUAUCUAAAUACACAAAAGAAAUUUACACGAAGUAAGCAUGGAAUGCUUAGUAAGUUCGUAAUUUAAAAAUAAAGCUUAGUACUUCAUUUCAUAAGCAUUAUCCAUUUAUGUCAAUCCAAUAUGUCUUGGCCAUAGCCUAACAAUUAUAACCUCUCAAUUGUAAAAUAUUACAAUGAUUCGCAAAUCAUUUCAAAACAUCAUAACAUAAGUACACAUUACUUUUGUGCAUUCAUAUUUUCAAGUAUAUGGCUAAACAUAUUUCAAUUAUCCAAAAAUCAUACCUUUCCAUACUUUCAUAACAAUUCCAAUUAAAGUAUUUCUUGAUCUUUCAUUCUUCACAUACUCGUUUAACCACAAUUUAAGUAAGUGAAACAAGGCAUAUCACAACUCAAUUUGGCCCAAAAGCCUAACAUAUAAUCAAUAACCACGUUAGCCAUGUAUUCAUAUAAAAAUCGAGAAUCAUGUAUGAAUUCAGCAAUUAUUAAAUUUCAUGUACAUGUAACAUCUACACCGUGUAUCCAUAUAUCAUAUAUAUACCAUUUCUAUGUAAAUACCUGUACUAGUUCUUGUCGAACUUGAAUAAUCUUGUAAUAACACUAUACCCGUUGAACCACUUAGAAUAUGGUUAGAUAUGCGGGUAGUACACGAGGUGUACUGAACUGUAAUCCAUCAAUUCUUGUACAUGUAUGCUCAUACGAGCAAUAAACGAUAAGCUCAUCCGAGCUGAAUAUCGGUAAGCUUACACGAGUUGCAAAUCGGUAAGCUCAUACUAGCUGUGGUGUGUCCGCAACAUAUGCUGGACCUCAACCAAAUCGGUAACCCUAAUGACAUGUCAUGUGUAUCCUAGAAUUCUUAAGGUUCAAACGGGGCUCGGUAUUCUUCGUACAACGUUGGUUAUGCGUUCGAUAAUUAUACAUAAUAAUUAAACCAUUCACAUACAUGUAUUUCAAUUAAAUCAUAUAAAUACGCAAUUUAAUUACAUGAAAUUACCUCGACGAGUUUACGUAGAUUCGAAGGUGAUUAAAUCUGAAAUUUUCUCUUUAAUUCGAUCUAACUCCGUAUGAGGUCUAACCUGGUCUAAAUGAAUGAAUUUAAAUCAAAUCAAUACUAAACACAUUCAAUUUAGUCUAACACACAUUUUUGACAAAAUUACCAUUUCACCCCUAUACUUUUAAUUCUUUGCAGUUUAGUCCCUAGGCUCGGAAUAUGAAAUUCAUUCAAUUUUAUCACUACCCAAGCCUAGCCAAAUAUUACUUAUAGCAUCCCAUCUAUUUCACUAAUUCACAAAUUAUACCAUGAAUAUUUAACAUUUUUCAAUUUAACCCCUAAUUGACAAAUUUAUCAAAAAUUCCUUUAUAAAAGUUGUUUAUCUAACAACAACCAUUAUUUUUCUACCAUUAAACUUCAAAACCCUAACAUAUUCAUCAAUGGAAAAACUCAAAUACUUUAAUAGUUUUACAAAUUAGUCCCUGGGCUAGCUAGAUUAAGCUACAACGAUCCCGGAAACAUAAAAAUUAUUAAAAAUGGGACAAACGAUACCCACAUGCAAGAAAAAUGGGGUUGGCCGAAAGUUCAAGCUUCCAUGGCUUCUUUCUCUUUCAAUUUUCGGAUAAAUAAAGGUUAAAGAUGAUAACUUUGCCUUUUUGUUUUAUUUGUUUUGUCAUUUUUAACCAAUUUACAUAAAUUAACCUUUAUACACAUUAUUUAUUACACAAAAUGUCAAACCAUCAUAUUCCACUAUCUCUUUAAUGGGCUAAUUACCAAAUAAGAACUUCCACACCAAAGUUUUAUAGCUAUUUAAUACCUUUAGCUAAUAGAACACAACUUUCGCUCUUUGCACGAUUUAAUUCUUUUUAUCAAAUUGAACAUGCAAAUGGUAAAAUUUCUUAACAAAAUUUUUAUACUAAUAAACUAUCAUGCUGUAGAUCAUAAAAUAAUAUUAAAAUAAAUUUUAUGACCUCGAAUUUGUGGUCUCUAAACCACUGCUUCGAUUUCUCGAAACCGGAAAAUAAAUUUGUGUUAGGCUAAAAUAUUUGUAGGCCGAUUUGGGCCAAACCGAUCUGAAUAUUUCACGUCGCCCACGUCGUACGGGUGCCCCCUAACCUGUUGAGUUUGGACCUGCACCCCUUGCGCGUGAAACAAGGUUGCAAGCUUAGUCAUUCAAUUAUUUUUUAAGAGGGUUCACAUAUAUAAACACAUCUCACACUUUGUUAUUUAACUAAUGUGGGAUCUAAGCCUUUAUUUUUCCUCAACAAUAUUUCCAAGUAACUUACUUUGAGCAUCAAUUUCUCAUUCAUCACUCAACCAUUUUAAGCAUAUAAUAUACCGUUGUAAAGGUCUCGUAGAGUAGAAUAUGAAACCAUAAUUUUAUGAUUCAAUUCUUCACCUUUACCUAUUGAGAAUAUGCCUCAAAGUUCCCAUAAAAAUAUAAUUUUUCCAACAACCCCUUGUCUUAAGACUUUCAAAUAUUGAAGCUAAAAUAGGGACAUAGUGGAGGCCAGUCUCGAGACAAGACCUUUAAGGUCUCGAGACAUGCUUGCCUUAAACCAAAAAUACUAAAAAUAAAAUGAAGUCUAUCUUGAGACAUCAUGUUGAAAAAUGAUAGAUAGAGUUUGGCUUCAAAUCCUAAGCUCGUAUUAAACCUCGGUAAAUCUUUAAUUGAUUAUUGUAUGUUCAAAAAUGUAUUUGUAUGAUUAAUUCAUAUGAAAUUUUGUAUAUGUUUGAUAUGAGUUGCUUCGGCAACGUGUGAUGUCACACAUUUGGAUCUGACGAUUGAGUCGGUUGUGAAAUAUCACAGAAAGAUAACCCUUUUUUCAAUUCGUAAAGUUAUUUUAGCUAUUCCUUUAAAUUUUCGCCUCUUUUUAGCUUUUAAACUUGUGUUCUUUGUCAAAUCACUCAAAAAUAGAUGAAUGUGAUGUCAACAAUUAAUUAUUUUUUUAAAUUUUAAAAAUUAAAAAAAUAUAAAAUUACUUGCAAAUUAAAAUAUUAAAAAGUAUAAAGAAAUAUUAUAAUUUUUAAAAAAUCAAUUAUUUGCCAUACAUUAGCAAAAUUAAUAUAUAUUAACUUUUUUAUUCAUUUUAGGAUGAUUUGACAAACAAUAUAAAUGUAAUUAAAAAAUGAAAAAUAAAUGAAAAUUUUAAUUUUAAUUUUUUUUUUGUAAAGUUGAUCAUUAUCCCAUCCAUAAAAAUAAAAAUGAGGAAUUGAAAUUUUUAAUGAAAGCCACCUACACCGCCCAAAAUAAAAAUAACAAACCAUUAAUCUUUCAGCCAUCGAUAAUUUCAUCCUCUCUUUUAAUUUAUUAUAGUUACCAAUGCUAAAUGCAGUUUCCAAUUCAUAGCUAAUCACACUUCAAGUUUCCAUUGUUCGAGGUAAACCAAACGUAGUGAUAACUCUCGUAUUCAUAUAUAUUAUUUUUAUUUUAGUUCGGGGAGCCAAAAAAAUUUUGAAGGUUCAUAAUAAAGUAGUAUAUUUUUAUGAUAGCAAAAGUAAAAAUUUAUCAUUUUUAUAGUUUUUAAAUGAUUAAAUCAAUUUUUCUCAUUUUUAGGGGGUAAAGUGUAAUUUUACGAUAUACUAAUUGAAAAUUUUUAAAAUUAUAAAAGUACUAAAAGUAAAAUUUUUUAUUUUAGGGGGUUGGGGCCCAGUCCCCCUUGGCUCCGUCCCUGUUUUAGUUUACAACUGAAUUGGUAUUACGAGUAAAUUCGAUAUCAAUUUAGUUAAUAAAAUUGUUAAAAUAAUUUUACAUAUUUUGAAUAAGUUAUAUUAUUAGAAGAGUAUUUUUGCCUCUUUCUUAUUAAAAAAACAAUAAAAAUGAAAUGUUGAUACUAGAACCUAUGUCACCAUCUAUAAAAUCUUUUUUUUACCACUUCAACCAAAGUUUUAUUUUAAUAUUUCUAUACAUUCUAAUGUUGUUACAUUUAUUGUUUCACCUAUAUUGAUUGUAUAUAUGAUUAAUCUUGUCGAUUGAGUUAAUAUCACAAGCAAACUCAACAAAAUAAUUUAAGUGAAUGUAAUAUUUUACUCACAAUUUAAACUAUUUUUAUUUUAAUUAUGUCAUAUUUAUACUAUUACAAAUUCUUAGACUCCCAAUUGAUAUGGACAGCCUAAUUCUUUGCCAUGUGACAUAUCCAUUAAUUUUAUUGACAUUUGACAAUUGUAUUAUUUACUUUCCUUUUUUUAUCUACCAAGAUUCUUUAAUUAUCUCAAAUAUAUUUGCAAGGUCUUAGGUCUUACGUUACUUUUGUUUUCAUUUCUUUAAAAAAUAAAUUAUUUAAUAUUUGAUUUCAUUAAAUUACUUGCACACGAGUCUCAAUUUUUUUAUUACAUCAGUCCAAGGUUUUUAAUCAUAAAAGGUAAUUAUAUUUUUAUUUUAUUUAAAAAUCAAUAUUAAUUAAAAUAAAUAAUAAUGGUUUUGAAAAUUUUAAAAUAAUAUUUCAAAUAAUUAAAUAUGCUAAAAAUACCAUUAGUUGAAAAACACCAUUCACAAAACUUAAAAUAGUUCACCAUUAUUCAUUUAUUUUAUUAAAAAUUAAAACUAAUUUAAUAUUUAAUAAUUAAUUCAAAAAAUGAAAAUCAUAAUUAAGUAAAUACUUAAAAUUUAAAUUAAAUAAAAAUAAAUUGUUUAGUAAUUUAAAAAAGAAGGAAGUUCUACUAGUAUGUUUAAUUAUAUUUUAUGCCAUAGCAUCGGGGAAUGCGAAAUCCACGGCAUUUGCACCACAAUCUUAAUAGUGAAAGACGAAUUACAUAAAAGGUCCAAAAAGCGUAUUCAAAUUAAAACUCCUCUCAUGGAUUUCAUCGUUUAUUUUACAAAAUUUGAUAAGGUAAUUUCUAUUUUAGUUUAUUAAAAUUCCAUCCUCAAAAUUUAAUCAACACUACUAGAUAUUACUAUUAAACUGCUAAAUUGAGGACCUCAUUUUUAAACAUUAACAGCUUAAUGAUUUAUAUAAAUAACCAUAAAAUAUAAUAAUUAAAUUCUAAAAAUUCUCGACUCAAUUUAAUUAGCCAUAGUUAAUAAAAAUAUCAAAAUUAUAAAACUAAAGAUAAUUAUGUAAAUUAAAAUUUUUAUAAGCCUUUCUUAUUUUAAAUAUGCUAGGCAUUACAUUUUUAAUGAUUUUAUUUAAACAUUUCAUAUAAAAAUGAUAAAAGUCAAAAACGCAUUCAAUAUUUUAUUAAAAAGGGCCUCAAUUUAUCAACUAAGUCCCAAGUCCGUGUGAAAUUACCAAAGUAUUUAUAUCUUUAUAUAUUUUGAUAAAUUUACAAAAAUUUAUACCUAAAUAAAACAAAUUAAAAAUAUGAUCCCAAACACCAAAACUCUUGUAUUUACUUUGGAAGGGGACACAAAAUGGAAGUGUUAGAUUUCUUUCCAUAUAAAUCUCUUUCUUUUUUUUUAAGUCAGGUUUGAAUAUUGAAUAUUGAAAAAACCGCCAAUUUGUUUUUAUGUCUAAAUUGACUCUAUUACCGUUUUCCUCCCAUAUAAACACAAGGAGGGGGUAGUUCUGUUUUCUAUCUUUCAUUUUUGUCUUUCUUAUUUCUUACUGGAAAUUUCACUGGAUCUUAAAGAGGAGCCAAGGGAGAGAAAUGGUGCAAACGAUGAAAAUGGAAACACCACGAUGGUGGUGGUUUGAUACUCCUCAGAAUGGAUCAAAGCGCUCUCCAUGGCUCCAAUCCACUAUUUCUGGUAAUAAAACCCUUCUCACUUUUCGCUUAUAUAGAUUGUGCUAGCCAUUGGAGUACAAUGCUUCUUUUUUUUUCUUUUUCUUUUUUUGUUAGUGAAGCCUUCUUCAUGUUUCUUGCUAUAGUUCAAAGUUUCUUUGAAUUGCUUUCUCCACAGUAUCACUUCGUAGGUAAGGUCGAAAAGGCCCCUAAAAUCAAAAAUUUAAUUAAACCCCUCCAAAAUUUUGAAUUUAUUCAUAUACUUUUUUAAUUAUUUCUAAACUUAUUAAAGAAAUUUUCACAAAAUUUUUAAAAAUUUUAAUUAGGCUCUGCCAACACUUAUCCGAAAAUUCUCACCGGCUUGGAGAGUGAAUAUAUAUAGGUCUAACUCUAACUUAUAGGAUUCAUGAUUCAACUUUUGAAAUUAGAGAGCUCACAAGCUGGAGAGGUUGACUUGGUAACAACCUGGAAUAUGCUUGCUACUGGACCCUAACCAAUUGGCAUGAUGAGCUGCGUGACCUAUGCUAUGCUUCCCUUGUUGGAUGCUUAUUCUAUCUAAUUCGGUUUAAUCCUGUCCCCAUUCACUGUAUUUUCUGGACUUCUAAAAAUUUAAAAUUUCUUUUAAUUCUUUUUGCAGUUUUAGUCCUUUAUUUAUUUGGUUAAAAAAUUUAAGUUCAUUUAGUUGGCUUUAUUAAAUUUAAACAUAUGUUACCAAUGAAAUUUUGAUUUUUAGAUUAAAUUCUUUAGUAUUAAAACACACACAUUAAUAUUUAAUUGAAGUCUAUUAACAAUGUUAUCAGUUGAAGUUUAAUUUUCAAAUCUGAUUAGUAGAGAGAUAAAAUUUCAAAAAUCUUUAAGAAUUCAGGGACUAGUGGCAUCAUUAAAGCUUUUAAUUUCUAUAGUCAAGGAGCCGACAAGAUUUGGUAUGCACAUACGGGUAACCCUCGAUGUAUAGAAAUGUGACUCUGAAAUUGAAAAUCCCUCCAAGUUCUGUUAUUUUUCCGACUUUUUCUUUUCUCCAACAAGCGUUCACCUUUGCAGCGCAAUUCAUCAGGACUCUAAAAGCUGUCUUUUAUAAGCUAAUAAUGUAUUGCAUCCAUUGCAAUCAAGGUUAACUACAAGAGGAUUAUUCUAAAUAACAAAGUGGGUAGGACCAUGAUCUCAUUUUUUUAAUCUGGAUUUAUUUAUUUAUUUCCUUCCCCUCUUGUUGCUUGAAACAUUGUUGUUUGAUUGAAAGAUCAUACCAUUAGGAGAUUGCCAGGGAGAAACAGUAAAUUUGGCACUUUUUUUAAAUUCCCCAAAAUUUCUUUUACAAUGUUUAGUUUCUCUGUUCCCUCCAUUUGCUUAAAUGAUGAAAUGGUUUUUUAAACCAAUUUCAGAACUGGACCAUAAGACGAAGGCGAUGCCGAAACUGAUAGAGGAAGAUGCAGAUUCCUUUGCGCAACGUGCAGAAAUGUACUACAAGAAGCGGCCCGAACUGAUUUGUCUGGUUGAAGAUCUCUACCGAGCCCAGCGUUCACUUGCCGAGCGGUACGAUCAAGUUAAGACAGACCCUGGAACUCGCCUCCUAACAACGUCAGUGUCCCCAUUCUCAUCCAUGAAGACAAUAAAUGUGAUGGAUAAAACCUACGACAGUUACUCGGAGUCAUUUGGUUCGUAUGCUGCAUCUGAAGUUGAUGACCCCGAACAUGAAACAGAGGGAGAAACUGCAAAGGGAGACGGAACCUUACUUGAUGAACAAGUAAUGGAUGAAGUUUCAAAUGAGGUAUCCGAAGAUGAAUUGACGAAGUUGAGAGAAGAAAUAGAGAGGUUGAAAGAAGAGAACGAGAUUCAGAAGGCUCAGUUGAUGCAGAAAGAUGAAGAGAAGAUGGAAGUGAUUAGACAACUCAGUUUGGCUGUCCAAGUGCUCAAGGAUGAGAAUGUGGACCUCAAGAAGUGUAUUAUUAAACAAACCACCACCAAGAAAUGGAGUCCCUUUGAAUUCAGCAGUGCGAGUUUUAUUGCUCUCUAGUUUUAGUUAGGUACAUCAAAGCAAAUAGCAUAUGUAUAUCCUAUAGGAACACAGCAGAUUGGAUUAGUAAGUGUUGUAAAUUGGCCCUUUGAACUCAACUUAGGUAAUAUAUGAAUAGCAAAUGUUUUGUUUUGUGAACUCAUUAGUUAAUCCUUAAAACCUUUAUUCAGUCUCAAGAAAAAUAGUUUGGGGCAAAUGCCAUACGCUUGGUUUAACUAACAUCCAACUAAAGUAAUAUAUACUAGAAAACAAAAAGAAAGAAAUAAUAUAUAGAACAUUAAAAAAGAAAAAGAAAGUGAAACCAGUACUCCACUAAGCACAAUAAUUGGGGGUUGCCACCAAAACAGUACCUUACACACCAGAAAGCUGCUGCAAUAAGCAUAGUGCCACAAGCAACCCAAAAAACAAUGUCGAAUUUAGAACUCCAGCUGAAGCUAAAGAAACCGCAGUAGAUGCUGGUAAGGACCCAGAUGGUGAAGGUGCAAAACCAGGACCAGGAGCCAACAUACUGUCUGGGUUAGGAGGGCUAGGACUUGAAGGAAUAGUGGGGAAUGAUGACUCGGUAGGGGAAGGUGCCAUACCUUUAGGAGUAGGAAGUAAAGGCUCAAUAUCUGGGGGUAAACUAGGAGAAGAAGAUAGAGGAGCAGUUGGCAAGAAUGCUGGGGCAGCUGAUAUACUGGAGAAUUGAACUGCAUGGACUUGAGACGAAGAUAAAGCUAGUGAAGAGAAACAAGCCAUGAAAACCAUGACUGACCAAAGGGUAGCCAUUAAAUGAUCAAAGAUUGGUAACCAGCUAUGAAAGUUCAAUAAACGAAUAUAAAGAAAAGAGAGAGAGAGAGAAUAUUAGAGUAUGCAAAAAGGUGUAUAAGAAGAACGUGAUGAGGUUGAUGAUUAAGGCUUAAAGAAAAAACAGUGCUGUGGAAGUGAUGGUGGGGACUUAGGGAAAGAGGUAUAGAGAUAGAGCUGUAAGUAUGUCGACAAAAAAUGGUUGGCAAACUUAAAUUUUUAUGGUAAAAUACAGCUCCACUGAUCGACUACACGACAAUGUGGAUAUGUAAAAUUGUUGGGGCGGGAGCACAUGAAAAUGGGCUGUCUUUUAAUUUUUUUUUUCUUUUCCAUUUUCAUUGUUCUUGGCAAUACCUGUACUAUAUUAUAUAUGUAAUUGUCAUCCGUGACACUUUGCUUUUCAGUUUUGGUUCUUAGCGUAUACACAACUAAACCUAAUAAAGAAGCUUCUAAGUCAUGAUAGCAUAGAACUGGAAAUGGAGCUUAAAGCUCCUAUAUAUAUAUAUAAAGUGGGUAAAAGCGAUUGAUUUAAAGUUGAUGCUUCAUCAUAAUGGUUAACAAUAAUGGUCUACUCAACUUUGCACGUCAAUGAUUAGAAGAAUAAUUGUUAUGUGAUUUGAGACAGGCAGAAGAAAAUUCACAAAUAACAACAAUUCAUUUUUAUGGGAAAGAGAGAAAAUUUGGAACUUUUUGCUAUGAUUUGAGCAGCUUCCUCUAUUUGAAUUUUAGGAUAUUUUAUAUUACUAGUUUUGCCAUAUACACAGCAUGAGUGAAAGGAAAAAACAAAACUUACUAUCAAAAUUAUGCUUAUAAAAAGUUUAUUCAAUAAUUAAAUCAUAUGUAAAGUGGUACAGUAAUUAUAAAUUAGUCUUGUUCAGGUUUAUGCAUAUUAUUUUUAAUUGUUUUAUUUAAGCAUUUUAUAUAAAAAUAGUAAAAGCGAAAAGCAUCAUGUGGCCAAACAAAAAGAAGACUCUUAACUUAAAAAUAGUGAAAUCAAUUUUUAAGUAGAUGAAACUGGUGUUAAAUUGACUUGUAACUCUAAUUUAGUUAAUUCAAAGGUGUGAUUCGGUAGUUGCUCACAUCAUCAAUUAAUCAUGAGGUCAGGGAUUCAAUUUUUACCCAUUAAAAUGGAACACAUUUCAUAAUACAAUUACUUUAAUUUCGACCAAAUAAAAAGAAUCCAAACUCAAUUAGCACAUUAGAAUAUAAAAAGGUUAAAGCAUUUAUAUAAUUUUUACUAGUUACUCUUAUUUAAAAAAUUCAAAACAAAAGGAACAUGACUUGUUGCUCUUAUAUUAGAUGUUAAGUAUUUACUUAUUUUUUUAAAAUUUUGGCUCUUAUAUUUUUUGGUCAUUUGACCUUUAAAUUUUAAAAUUUAGUUAGAGUGUUUGCUUUUGGAUGGAAAACUAGCUGAACUGUUAAAAUUUUAAUAUCAUUGAUGUGGCCACUCGUAUUAUCCAUAAAAAUUCAAAAUAUUUUGAAAAAUCAAUAAAUUUCUAAAAGUUCAUAAAAACUUGUAGAAAUUUUAUUCAUGUUAACACUAAAAUACAUGUAAAAUACCAUAUGAUCUACUACGUCAAUGCUAGUAAAGUUUUAACAUUUCAGGCAGUUUUUCUAUCCAAAAGUAAGCAAUUUAACUAAAAUUUAAAAGUUGAUGACCAAAAUAACUAAAAAAAUACAAGUUAAAAUGACAAAAUAAAUAAAUAUUAAGACCAAAUUUACUUUUAUGCCUGAAAUUAAAAUUUUUAAUUUUUAAUAAUAUUAAGACAUUCAAAUCUUCACAUAAACAAAUGUAAGUUUAGGAAAAUAAUAGGCAUGAAGAAAAGAAAAAUAUAUUCCUUGUCCUAUUUGGUUUGAAAGUUGAGAAAAACUAUGUUUCUGGAAGAGAUUUUGUUCCCUUUAAAUGGAAAAUGUUGGUCCAGUUUCAAAAAUCCAAAACCAAAGUAGGCUGUCCGCAUAAAAUUUCAGCCCACGGUGUGUUUGUUUUUCGGAUUUAUUUAUUUAUUUUUCUGUGUUUAUUGUGUUAAAAUAAAUCCAAUAAAUAUAAAAUAUUUUCCAAGUAAAAUAAAAAAUUGAUUAGGCUGUAAGUCAACAGAGUGUUGGAUCAUCACUCUGUGUUUUGUUUGUUUAUAUUUCUCUAUCAAGUUAAAUAAAUAAAUAUGGAUAAAGUUUUGGGCACUCGAUUAUUAAAUAAAUUAAACACAAAUAUUAUUAUACCCCAUUCAAAUAAGUACAUGAGGCAAGUUGAAAGACCGCCCAAGCAGCAAAACUUGUUAGCAACUAAUCGGAAGAUCACUCACAAGUUUCACCUCUUGCCUCCACCAUCUGGACAAGUACAAGCCCUCCCAAGCCCUUAGGCUUCCGUUAGAAACAUAAUGUUGUUGGCUACUAAAUACCUCGUGGGUUCAACUGCUUUUUACCAUCAAGUAAAAAUGACAGGAUUUGACCCAUCACAGACAAUCUCGUCCCAUCUAAGAUAUCUACCCUACGCGUUUGUGGAGCAUGGUUGAGAACCAAGUUUGGUUUGGUUGGAUUAGAAUCGGCCAAUCUCUUAGUGGGAGAAAAAAUGAUAAUGAAUGAACGGUUGAUAUGCGGUUGGAGACCGCGUAUGAAAGAUUAUAAAUAAAUGAGAAAUGAAUCCUUAGACGAAUUCCUUUCAGUCUUUCAUUUUUCUCUUUUUCUUCAACCUUCAUGGCUGCUUCGAGGAAGCGAUGGUCAUAGAAAGCUCUAUAUAGAGCGACGACUAGGAGGUUUAAGUUGGAAAAGUAGGGAAACCAAUAAACCGGUAAGGUUCUAAGCCCUUCGGUAUACGUAAGACUCAGAAAAAAAAUUAAGGGUUUUAGAACCAUUUUAAGGGUUCUGCAUGUAUUUGAAAAAUUGAAGUUAAAAAAUAUGAACAUUGAGUUUAACAUAUAAAUUGGUUGUCUUGCUAGUUGCUAGGAGAAUGAAAGCUCUAGUGUUAGGAAAGGCUAAGUUGAUGAGGCAAUGAAGCAUCAGGUGAGUUUCAAUACUCAAGCCCAUAUCUAUAAAAGUAUGAUGCAUGUUUUCAUGAAUUCAUGAGUAUCUGUCAUUCUAGAUUAGAAUGCAUGAUAAAAGGAAAUCAUGAAAGAGAAUUAACGAUGGAUUAGAUGGAGUUAGGAAAGGGAAAGAGAGAUGAUUCUGCGUGCACCUGUAAUACGAUGUUUUCAUAUAAUACGGUGUUGCUGUGUGCACCUAUGAUUAGCGAAGCUCCGGGCCUUGCGGAGAGGACACUGUGUUGUUCGAGCAUCAAGGUAUAGGAUGGUAAAAUAGAGGAAUAGAUUAAAUGAAAUGGGAAGAGUAAAGAUCAUGGCGAGACUAUUAGAUUGAUCAGAGGCUAUACGCCUACAAUGAGUAAAACCAUAUCUAAAAAACGCUCUGACAUCAUUAUGGAAAUGAGUAAGACCAUGAUUGAAAAACUUUAUGACAUCAUGGUAAACAUAUGUAAGACCAUUGUUGGACUAUGGCAACCUAGGUAGUCCACCGGAAUGAUAAACACAGGUGAUAUGGUGUAAGAUCAUAACUGGAAGAUGCUAUGGCAGCAAAAGAUGAUUUGAUGGUAAAGAGAGUAAGACCAUAGUUGAAAGACGCUAUGACAUCAAAGAUAGUCCGACAAGACGUUAAACACUAGAUUUUUCAAUGGGACGUUAAACACGGGAUUGUCCAAUAGGACAUUAAAUACGAGAUAGUCUGACAAGACAUUAAGCACGGAAUUGUCCAAUAGAAGGUUAAACACGGGAUUGUCUAACGAGAUGUUAAACACAGGAUAGUUCGAUGGGAUGUUAAAUACGGGAUAGUUCGAUGGGACUCUAUACAUGAGAAGGCAGAAGUGGAAAGCCAUAGUCAGACCAUGACAACUGAUGGAUUCUGUUAUGGCAUUAAACAGAGGUACUUGCGAAGACCAUAGUUGAACUAUAGCAACAAAGGGAAAGAGAGAGAGAAAGUCCACCAGGACAAUAAACUCGGGAAGGAAUUCAGAACAUGAUCAUAAGAUAACCCGCUAAUAGGAAAAAAGGGUUGAAAGGAAAUGGGAGUAUGAACAAGUGACAGACGAGCGACUGGCUGAAGGAAUCCGCCAAAAAAUGUGAACUAAAUGGGAAUAAGAAAGGACUGUGGAAAUAGUAGUCGUGUAAACCAGAGGGGUAAGAAAUGUUAAUCAGGAAGUAGUCAUGAAAGUCGAAGAACCAAUGGUGCCUAACAUUCAAGCGUAUGAGAAAUGGUUAAACCAAGGAUCGUGGUAGAGGAUUCACCAUUAAGGAUUUUUCUAGAGUGUUUAGGAAACCCAACCAGCUUGUAAUCGAUCGAAAGUAUGCUGACUAAUCCAUAAGGAAUGGUGGGGUUAAUCAGAACCCUAAUGAUAAUAUGAGACCCCAAAAAGAGGGAAGCCUUAAAGUGACAGACUUGUUUGUCAAGACUAUUACUCUCCAAUGGGGAAGAAUUGGAGUGAUGGUAUCAGCUAAAUGGGUAGUUCUGUGAGAACCAACAAGGUAAAGAUCACUAGAACAACUAGUUAGGCGAGAAUACAAUAAGAGAGGAAACUUGUGAAUGCGGAUGAACUAAAAAACGGUGACUAAGUGAUUCAAACCUUAAUGGCCAGUAGUGAGAAGUUGUGCUACGCUGGAGGGUAAGAUAAAAAUAAUUAAGGCGGAUUAACAAGGAAGUAAUUCAGCCCCUGUUUAAGAUAAGUAAUGUUUAGUCCGCCAGGAUAGCGAGAGAUCUGUUAGUCAAACUGGAGAAAGGAAAGAUAGAGUCCGCUGAGAUGGUGAAGCGAUUAGAGAAUCUGUCCAGGCUGAUUGAAGAUCAAUAGAAUGACCAGAAGGAAAUUGUUCAAUGAUUUAUCCUCAAGUGGAUAGGUUUGAGAAUAGGAGAAGUCCACUACGAUGGUUUUAGAGGAAUGUCCCAAACAAGCAAGGAGUUAUUGUAUUAUUAUUUAAUUGAACCCCGACAAGUGGGGUACAUUUUAUGUAUCAAAGAAACUCACUAAGUUCACCUGAACUUACCAAAGUGUGGCCUCUAUUUUGCAGGAUAUACAAGAUACGGAAAUCGAGAAGGGACCAAGUCAGAUCGUAUGGAAAUCAAGGAUUUAUCGUUAGAAUAAAGUCAUGCAUAUAGGAGGGGGGCACCUUUGUAGACUUCGCCAAGUGGGGCGAUUAAGUGUAUUUGUUUAAACUUCUUCGAGUUCAGAGUUAGGACCGAAAACAUUGUAUUAAAAUUUAGACUUUGUUGUAAGUUAUUUUAAUAGGUAAUACAAAUUGUUUUAACUUAGUGAGAUUUUAGUCUGAACAACAAACCAGUUUGAUUGUGAUACCCGUACUUGGAUCCAACGAACGGAUCGAGUGAGGGUGUUAUAGACUCUCUGCUAGGGUUGUUUAAGCAGUUGAGUCAGUUAAAACCCAAACUGAAUUACAAUUAACUGAAUCACCUGAAAUGUAAAAAUCUUUAACCAUUAAUCGAACCGAUUUUUUUAAAUACAUUAAUUGAACCAAAAUAUUUCAAUUAAUUUGUUAGGUUAACUGAAUUAAUUGAAAUUUAUAUAUUUUUUAUUUUAGUUAAAAUAAGUAUAAAACAUAUAAAAAAUAAAUUACUAAUGUUCAUUAUCAUUUUUUAAUAGUUCAAAAAAUAUAUUAUAUAUAAUUUAUAUUAUUUAUUUCGAUUAAUAUAAAAAUAAUAGUUCAAAAAAUACAUUCCUAAUAUUAAAAAUCUAUUAUAUAUAAAAUAUAUUAUUUAAUUUGGUUAAUUUCUCGGUUUUGAAUCGAAUUAGUCGAUAACCGAAAUUCUAAAAAAUCAUUAACAGACCUUUGAUCGAACUAAAUUCGACUACGACCGAUUAACCGAAUUAGAUCAGUUAAAUCGGUUAAUUCAGUUUUAAUCGAACUGUGAACAUCCCAACUCUCUGCCUCGUCUGGGUGAUCGGCCUCGUGACAAUCACCAUACUCUCUUUCAUAUUCUAUUCAUGUUGCAUCACAGUAUUGACAAAAUAUUAAUGAUAUUUAAAGGUUAAAAUAUAUCAUAAGCCUUUGCACUUUUCGUAAAUUUGAAAUUUAAUUUUUAUGCUUUUUAUUUUUUAAAAUUCAAAAAUCAUGCUCAACUAUUAGCAACCUUAAUUUUUUAAUUAUAUUACUGCCAAGUGAUUAUAUUUUUUAAAUUUCAAAAUGUUAUACUAGCGAGUUCAAUAAUGUUAACAAUUUAACUUGAAUUUUAAAAUUUAAAAAAUAAAAAAAAACUAAAUGUUUAAAAAUAAAAAUAUGAGAAUUAAAUUCUGUAAAAAGUUGAAUUUAUUUUAAAUGAACAACGGAACAACGAAGGCAAAGAAGGCGUAGGCCUAGCUAGGCCACUGCAAAAGCUGUCUAUUAAUUGAAACUAUUUCCACCUGACACCUUCCUAAUUUGGGGCCCACAACCCACGUGUCAUCCUCUAAACUAAUCUGUUUAGUUGCAGCCACUGUCGGCCGGCCAAAUCCACAGUAUCACCUGCAGCCAGCAUAGCUUUCCUCAACCCGGUUAAACACAGUCCGGUCCCGUUUGUUUACGUUUCAAUUUCAGUUCAGCGUUGCGGUUUAACGGAGAUCCAUGUGAUUAACAGCCAAGACCGCGAAACAGUGAUGUAGUAGGAACACUGUCUUUUCACUUUUGUCGCCUUGCCUACCUUACCUUCUUUUCACAUUGAUUGUGGGUUUUUGGAGUUUAGACGUGUCGUUUUCCCCUCCGUAAUUGCUCCAGCUUUUUUGUCGUUUUUUGUUUACUCCAUUACAGCCCAAAUAAAAACCUUGCAGAUAUAUACACGCAUAUAUAUGUAGAUAUGUGUAUGAAUUUGAUCAAAUCCCAUUGCUUUUAAGGGAUAUAGCUAGGUCUCUAUAUGUAGUGCAAGCUAGCAACCCUUGGAUGGAUGCUUCACAAAUCACAUUGUACACUUGAAUGGUAAAAGCUUAAGCCACCUAUAUCUAACCCCACCAUUGCAGAUAAGCCAAGGGCAAGGGCGUGGUUCAGUGAAUCCAUCACAAUGAAAGAGAAACCCCCCCGCCCCCCUCAUGUGAUUCACAAGCUCACUUAGCAUAUAGGUCACUUGAUAUUAUUGUUUUAGUUGAUAAUUUAAUAUAAUAAUAAAUAAAAUAUAUACUGAUCUAAAUUUUUAAAUAAUUAAUAUAAAUAAAAAUAUUAAUUUGUAAAAUACAAAAGUCAAAUUGGAAAAACUCUUUUUAACAAACAUUUCUAACUCCAAAACCCAGGUAUUUGACGUUACUUUUAAAGCUGAGAAGUACUGUAGCGAGGCCUUAAUCGAAUUUUACUCAACAUUGGAAAAGGGUUGAAAAGAAGAGGCGGAGAAUGACAUGAAAUUCAAUAGGGGAUAAGCGCAUUUGCAUGAAAAGGGCAAUGGGAAAAAAAACACGUAGUACACAUCGAUGCCUAAAGUAGCAAAUAUCGCCAGGAAUCAACGACAACGACCCACCCUCCAAACAAAGCAAAGGGAGAAACAAGACAAAAUCUGUAUUACUGACGUUAAACAAUGUAUCUUAAAAGUUAAAACCAUAAUAAUCAUAGUUGAAAAGUUUUGUACUUAAUUACGUUACUCUACAGGAAAUGUAUCGUCAAAACUGAGACCUUUUUGUCUUCUCUUACAUUGCAUGCACUUUGAGGUAAACGAUAAAAACGUUUUUGCAUUAAGAGAUGAGGGGCAAUAGAGCCUAGAGGGGGCCAGGUUGUUGAAAGUGAGAGCUUGUUUCUAUGGUGACACGACCUAGCCGCCUGAUUCUCGAGGUGUACGUACUCCUUUUAGUCAAUUUUUUUUUGUCUUUUUCCUUUUUAAUUUCUCUACAUAACUUUUACUUACACACACCCUUUUGCCUUCCCCUUCCCCUUCCACUCUCGUUUUAUUUCCUGCAUCUUUCCUUAUUCCGGGAAAGAAGCUUCUUCUUUUUUCUUUGUAUAUACUCCAUCUUUUGGGUUAAGAAAAGAGAGAAAAAGCGGAAGAUAAAUGGACGGUGAACGGAAUGGUUUGAAGGCUAAGGUCCCAUUUCACCCCAGAAGACGUAUCAACGUCUAUGGCUUGCCGUUGCUUCCUCCGAACAAUCAAGGUUUUAUAUCUUCAUUUCUGGCACCAACACUCGUUUAUCAAGUAUCAAACAUGUUUGAUAAACUUGAGUACUGCUAGCAUUUUAAAAUCUGCUUAUUGUAGAAUGAUGUGAUGACGGAGUAGUAUCUAUGUUUUUUUUUUUUUUGCGCUUGAACUUGUUGGUCGAAGAUUAUUUCUUUUGUAUUUCGUUUCAACUUUCAGCCUUAUAUGCAAUGUAGUACACGACAAACAUUGGAAAUUAAUUAACCAAUCAAUCAUCUCAUUUAUGUUUUUGUCCUAAUUCUUGGCUCUGUUGGUCUGUAGAAUGGGUCCCAAAUGUUUCGAUUUGUUCAUAUCUCUGAUUAUCAGAACUUUUUUUUUCUUUUGUUUCAUUUAGAUUGGUUUUUAAGUGUUAUGGCUUGAAUUUGUGUGUGAAACCAGGAGAAAAAGAUGAUCUACAUGUUGAACUAUGGCAUGCAUGCGCUGGUCCUUCAGUUUAUGUGCCGCGCGCUGGGGAAAAGGUUCUGUAUUUCCCUCAAGGUCACAUAGAACAGGUAUAAGCAAAUCUUUUACUCUACUUAAUUAAAUCAAAUAAUUAAUUAACCCCAUUUUUUUUCUCUUAUUCAAAAAAAAGAAGGAAAGUAAGAAAAAGCAUUUUGUAUGAAUAAAUAUAUGCUUGUGCAUUCAUCUGUUUGAUGACUGAGCUUUUGACACAGCUGGAUGCAUGUAUGAAUCAAGAUGGGAUAAUGGAAAUGCCUAUCUACAAUUUGCCUUCUAAGAUCCUUUGCAGGGUGAUGCAUGUUCAGCUUAAGGUAUCCGCUAUAAAUGUACCUUUAAUUGUUUCCUAAUGACUUUGAUUGGAACAAUGGAGAGCUUAGACUUUCAGGAGGUUAAUAUGCAAAUGCAAAGCUCAUCAUAAGUUGUUGUUUUUGAUGCGUCUUUGCCAUAUUGCAGGUUGAACCUGGCACAGAUGAGGUCUUUGCACAAAUAACACUGAUUCCAGAAGCAGAGGUUAGAUAUUGAAAUGCUUAGAGUAAUUGUUUUUCAUUUACUUUGCCUUAGAAUCUCCCUAUUAUCUUUUACCUAAAUGCUUUUCUGCCUCAAAUAGCAAGAUGAGGAAAGUUUGGAGCAUAGAAAUUAUCAACCUUUACCCCAGAAAGCCUAUCCAGUGUUCUUUAGUAAGAAACUCACUCCAUCAGAUACAAGCACACAUGGCGGAUU
This 44606-nucleotide long non-coding RNA is filed under the name Gossypium barbadense (sea-island cotton). Its description in RNAcentral is "long non-coding RNA (GBAR_LNC020614)". Lineage: Eukaryota; Viridiplantae; Streptophyta; Magnoliopsida; Malvales; Malvaceae. The record is from RNAcentral.